RNAcentral lists this long non-coding RNA (61963 nucleotides) under Vitis vinifera (wine grape). RNAcentral's name for it is "long non-coding RNA (VVIN_LNC006339)". Lineage: Eukaryota; Viridiplantae; Streptophyta; Magnoliopsida; Vitales; Vitaceae. The record is from RNAcentral.
AUUUAAACACCAUCUUGAAUCAGCAUAGUUUUCAGAGAAAACGAUUACGGAAAACCUUGAUCUUUCAAUGACUUUGAAGAGUUCUGACCCAAUCUCUUCUCCUCUCUUAAGUUUAUCAUCUCUGAAGGUGCGAUUGCCUCUCUUGAGCAAAGCUUGGUAGAGGUGAUCAGUGAAAUUAUAGCGGGUGUCUUCGCCUCCAAAACUCAAGAAAACAUCAUAGUUCUUUUGAGGGAUGGAAUUAGUAGUAGUCGUAGCAGAGGAAGAAGAAGAAGAUGAAGAUGAAGAUGAUGAUGAAAAGGGUAUUAGAAAACUUAGGAACGCAAUUAUGGAAGCGAUUAGGGAACUUAUGGAAGCUAUUAGGGAAUUUAUGAAAGCCAUGGUUGGUUUUUGUUUCAAAAUCACAAGAGGGUGUGAGGCUUGAUUUCUCUUGAGACUUGAGGAUAUGUAGCAAGCAAACUUUGCUUAAUACAUAAACUGUUUCUUAGUAAAAAGCUGGGGAGGUAAUUAAGUGGCUUCCACUGACCUUCCUAAGCAACUUCAAUAUUUGUAGCUUGGUAGAUAGGAAAGAAGGACAGCAUUCCCAGUGCCGAAAGAAAGAGAUUCUCUCAUUCUUACAUUUGCUUUUCUUUUAUCACCUUUUGCUUUUGUUUUGUUGUCUCACAGGUAGGCCAUUCAAUUCAAUGAUCAGCAUUUGGUUCUUGCACUUUUCAGUGUAUUCUUCAAGCCAUGAAUGGAAUUGAAAGGUAACUGUCAAUUUUUUAAUGUACGGCUUCACGUUCUCUUUUUUACUUUUGCUUUUGUCAUCAUUACUGCAAUGCCAUUUUUCUUCAAUUUUCCCUGUUGCCUUUUUCUCUUUUAUUAUCAUUCAGUUCUCUUUGAACGAGCUCAGCGGGGCCAGCGGGCAAAGAAAAGACUUCUGUAUACCUUGCGUCUGUUUUUCUUGCCACUUUUUCACUUUUCUUCUGUUUUCAUUUGGGUGUUGCAUGCACUCAACUUCCCUUUUAAAAAAUAAAAAUAUUUUACUCUUACUAAAUAAUAAAAAUAAUUUGUUGAUUUUUAUUUAUUUCUUAAUAUUUAAUAAAAAUAAAAUAUUAAAAAAAUACGUAACUUAAUACUUGACACUAUUAAAUAUUAUUUAGUUUUAACUUAUAUUUAAAAUUAAAUAAAGAAAACAAAUAUCAUCUAAGACCUUUUUUUUAAACAUUUCAAUAAUUUAUCUAACCAAAAGUGAAGAAAACUUGUGUUCCUAGAUUAUCUGUAAUUUAUCUAACCAACAGCCCCAGCCAAAAAUAAAAAUAAAUGCAACCAUAUCAUAUUGUUGCAAUUGAAGUUGACCGCCACAAAGCUGGAGCAAACAUAGUAUAUGGUUGCGGCUAGUGUUAUUUCCCCUAUUAUAGUUGAAAGACAAGGCAGCAGCCAAAAGGAGGGUGCAACUGAAGCUUCCGGAUAUAGUUGUGGCAGUUUAAUUCCCUCCACCAAAAGGUAUAUAAAGCAAUAUAGCACCUGUUUUCCGCUGCUGUAAGCAUCUUAUGGUCAAACAUUAAAUGGUGGCUGUAGAGUUCCACAAGUUACUUUGUGGUUUUUUUAUAUAAAAUGUCUGUGCAGAUAUGCAGACUUAGUUUCAGUGUACCGCCAUCUCACUUCACAGGUUACAAACCGGCUAUUAUAAUAAGUUUUUCAGAAUUUAAGCACAAUGAACAAUACAACAUAUCAACAACUAAAGUUGAUUGACUCUGCUAUUUUGGGUCAUUGACUGUCCUUGAGAGUUCAAGUUGUCAUGUUUGUACUCGCUUUGCAUUACUAUUGCAACAAUUACAUACUACAGUUGAAACCAACAUCAACGAGACUUGACGUUUACAAAUUAAAUUUUGCCAGCUAGAAGGUGAGGUCUCACUUUCCUCACCAAGCCCUGAACUUCAACAGCAUCUGGAAACAUGCAUUCAAUGCGGAUGCCAUAGUGUUUCUUAACAGUAUCCAAGAAUUGAUAUGUUUCCAGGUUGAACCUUCCGGUGUUCAAGUUGAACACCUUUAAUGGACAAUUCAGCAGCAUCUUCAGCACCACUGCCAAAAAAACAGGAAAGCAAAUAUUUUUUUCAGUACACAGCUUUGAUUCUGAUUCCACUAGUAAAGAUGAUGCAGAAUAUCACACAUGGAUUGAUCAAUGACAGAUACAGGAGUAGCAGAUAGAGAUAAAAGAAACACAAUAUAAAGUACUUAAUUCCAUUCUGGUGGAAAUCCCAGUUUUUCAAUUGAAAAUGGAGUACCAGUACUGGAUUAAUCAGGUGUUCUGUUUUGAAACAAUUGUCAGAUAACCAUAUAUAGAGCUUCAAAUGUUGCAUAUUGCAUACAACUUCAUGAUUCUGCACAUCCCAAUAAAAGUUCCUACGAGAUCCAGUAUAAAAGUAUAAACCUAACUCCCCAAAUCAGUAAUGCUGGCAUUAAAAUGCUAGCACUAAACUAAUGGCUACAGUCAACUUGUUGCACACUUUUUCAAGAAUGAGUCAAAACACAGUAACGUUAAUGGAUAUGAUGAUCUGUUGACAAGAGAACACCAUUCCAAAAAGAUAUCUCAUGUGUUUUCUAAAACCAGAUAAGGUUUAGAAACAGUUACAAUAGCAUGCAAGCAUGUCUGCAAAAUCGUAACUCCACAGAUCUAUUAGAAUAUGUAACACAAAUUUCAUCUACCUCAUACCUGCUUUUACAAAAUCUGUAUGUUUAUACUGAGCUUUUCCUUUAACAUCCUCCUCUGUUACAGAAUGUACAUGAACACAAAACUCAAAUCAAUGUCCUCUAUAGUCAAUUGGUACUCCUUAUCUUCUGCUCCAACUAUUAUCACUGGACUGUUCCAUCCUCUUCUUAACCAACUGAAAGACAUAAAUAGAAAAGCUAUGUUAUUUUUUAAUUUCAACAACAGUAAAAUCACUGCUUUGAAAAACCUCACAGUGAUGUAGAACAGCUGGAAACAGGUUCCAAAUUUUAAUAGGAUUUAAUGAUUUUAACUGUAGGGAUUGGAACAUCUGGACCACUCCCUUUUCAGCCCACAUCUUCCACUCCCUCCCUCCCUAUUUCUCCUCAUAAUUCAUUGAGGGUUCAAUUUCCUUUAACUCUAUUUUUGUCUUCUCGCCUAAGCAUACAUUCCUGAGAUGCCAAAGAUAACUCCCUCCUUGUCAACUGCAGAGAGGAGUUGCAUGGCCUCUUCACCUCGCAACACCUUCUCCUGGAGUCCCACCACACUCCAGACAUUCAUGGACAUUGGCACUUAACUGCCAAAAUCAUGAAAAUCUAUGAUUGCCCCUAACAUUAUAUGAAAACUAGUUGCAUAUUAUGUCAGAAAAAUUCAAACCCCCAGCCCAUAUGCUAUGGCCCUCAACUUUGCCAAAGAAAUAGGCAUUAUUUUCCAAUGGUGUUAAUCCCCAUAACUGGAAUGCAAAUUGGAUUCUACUUGUUUGUUCCAAAGGUAUAAACGAACACAUCCCAGGCAAGCUGACCUCGUAGCUAACCAACUUUUUGUAGGUAUUCAGAAAAUGCUACUUGAACAAUGAUGCAGGUGUGAUCGAUUUACAUUUACAUAUUUGAAUCAUCAAAAAAAGAAGCUGAGCAGCACAUAGGAAGUUCAUUUAACAAUAUAUUCAUUAUUUGUAACCAGCGGCUUAAAUUAUGAACAUUCAGUGAAAAUUACCUGUAAACCCAUUCAUUAUCAUACCAAGAGACCAACUUGAUAAAGUUGUCAUUCAGAGCAAUUCCAGCCUUGGCAUAAAAAAUACUCGACCUGCCAAAGGGCAAGUGAUUAUACAAUUCACUUGCAAAAUAAGAAAAGUAUUGAAGAUGAGGAAGAAUAAAGAUAUUGCAAGAUUUGCCUCACCUGCGGUCCCCGAUAAAAUCACUUGAUACCACAUCAUCCUUAGUGUAACCAAGGAUUUCCUUCAAAUUUCCCUCAUAUUCCGCCCUGGAAGAGAAUCAGAUGGUUAAAUUAAUAAGAAUAUCUCGAGUUAUUCUUUUUCAUCCUCUUUUCUUGCAAAUCAGAAGGUGCAACCAGCCAAGAAAAAGAAAUAAAUAAAUCCAAAUCAGAAUAUGAUAGAAAUUCAAAAAAAAAAAAAAAUUCCUUCUAGAUCCAUUUGUAUAUAUGAAAAAACUCUCACAAACACAAACAUAUAUAUUAGUCAUAUUAUUGUGGAACUAACUAUAAGUAAUGCUAAUAAACAUUGAAGAGUAGUUAUGGAGCAACAAAAUUCACUCUAGCAGCAACUCUCAAGAAGAAACCAUCCUCAAAAUCGGUGGCAUAUAUUGAAAGGUUGAGGCCUUAACUCAAGAGUAGAUAUGAAUGGAGAGAGAGAUUUGGAUGAACUACAACAACAGAAUGGAAAACAUAAGAACAAGAUGUAAGUUUGAAUUCAAGAAUGGUCUAAAAGUUAUCUCUUGUUCCGAUUUAUAGAAACUUACAGUACACUGUCCAAGAAUAAUUCUUGAAACAUUGCUUAGUUUAAGUUGUUUCACUUUUUUGCCAGAGUACCAUAUCAACAUAUAUUCAUCCUGAAACAUGACCUAGGAACACAAAUAUAUGGGAACAGAGGAUGAAAGAAUCAAGAGGAAACAUACCUGUUACUUGCUCCUCCUGUAAGAGCAAAUUGCAACUGAUAGAUGCAGCUUCUUCAAGAUAAACUGCACACAAUAAAUACCCAGAAGCACAUCUUCUCAAAAAUGAAAAAUUUUCAACACCUAUAAAUGAAUGGAUUUGAAUUAGACCUAAAAGGUAAAUAAAUCCUUUGGUUCCAAAAUAGAAGCCAUAGGAUAGAACAUAAUUCCUACAAAAUUGGGGCAAAAAAUAGAAAAACCAUAUAAACCUACCAGUGUCACUAGGUCCCAAGGGUUUUACGGGCCUAAAAUGAUUCAGGCCUAUCUAUUCUCCACCAUCUAGAAUCUGUAAAUCAGGGGUUACCUAAGCACAGGAAUGAGUUAAAGAUCCUUGAGAAAUGAAUUUUCAUAUUUAGAAGUCUUUUCGUCUAAAACACAAUGAUAUCCAAGUAGGUGGAUGAUCUUCAUACCUUUCCUGUCUAAAACACCAGUAAAGCCUUUUGGGGCACCCUCAGGUGGAAUUUUCAUACCUACAUUUAGGGCUUCAAAUUACACCAACAACAUCUUUGAGAAAUCAUCAAACUUAAGAGAUUAUCUCAAUCCAUAAGAAAGGAAGAAAAAUCAGCUAGAAAACCUCCAAAUCGAAAUUUCUACAGUAAUGAGUGGACAAAAAAAAUGGAGAAGCCGUACCUGAAAACCCUCCAAAUCCUCUGGUAACUUGAAACCCUAGCAAUUCAAAGCCCUAGAGAAAACCAUAAGGUAGAAAAUAAUAGAGUGAAAUCGAAAAAAAUAAAAAUAAAACAAAGUGACAAUGUUGAAAGAAAAAAAUACCAAGCUGCAUCCCACAAUGCCUGAAGAAUCAUCCAGCUAUUACAAGAGAAAAAAAAAAAACCAAUGAGUUCGGUACCGACAAUGAUGAAAGAGGAAAUGGGUUUGGCAAUCAAAGGUGAACGGGAGAGAAGUGGGUUUGGCAACGAGGGUAAGCAGGAGAGAAAUGUUGCAAUUUAUAUAUGGGUUUUAUGGUAGUGGUCUGGUGGCGUCCUGGGCCAUAUAUGGUAGCGGCCAAUUUUAUCCCACAGCUAUAGGAUGUUUAUAGCAGCAUCCAAUUAAUCCUGCAAACUAUAUGUCUGUUGGGAACCACUCUGCAACUGCGACUUGUGUAGCUGUGAGAUUAUAUAUAUACUUUUUAGUUGCGGAUGUUGUCGACCCUUCCUAAAAUUACGCGACUAUAUCUCACUUUUUUAGUAGUGUGAUUAAUGUCUCCCCACAUUUCCAGAGAUUACCUUAAUCUCCCACAUGGUUUUCAAUACAGAAAAGAAGAAAAUCAGAGGUUUGAGAGAGAAUUGCAUGUCAAGGAAGUAUUCAAUUGUAUUGAAAAAAUUCUUUUAGCUUAUGCAGGACCAAGAUUAGCUGCCAUGAAUAUACCCCUAACAAUGUGACCAAGAUACGAGCACCACUGCAACCUAUUGGAUGUCCCAAAGAUAUAGAUCCACCAUGAACAUUGACCUUUUCCUGAAUCCACAAAAGAGCACAUGCUUAUAGAGGCAGAAAUAUGAAAAUGCUCAGGAAAAUAAAAUUGUACAAAACUGAAGUAAACAAAUUCAAUGUAUAGUAAGUCACUAUAGGUUAAAAAAAAAAAAAAAAAGUUGAGACGGUGAACCAAAACACUCACAGGAUCAAGACCGCAACUUUUAAUUAGCAAGAGCUACAACCUGCAGAAAGCAAAUGAGAUCAUAAAAUUAGCAUAAACUGUUACUUGAUAAAAGAGAUGGUAGAAGUAUAACAAGCACAAGAAUAAAUCCUUACGGCGAAAGCCUUGUUUAUUUCAUAGUAAUCAAUUUGAGAAGCCUUCAGGCCCGCAUUAGAAAUAGCUUUUGGAAUUGCAAGGGCUGGGGUAGUUGUAAACAACUCAGGUGCCUGCCCAAGCCAAUCAUGUUUUAGUAUCAAGUCAUCUGUGGUCGUAUCAAGAUCGAGACAGAUAUAAGUUAACUUUUUAACAGUACCUGAGCAGCAUCACCAUAUCCUGCAAUCUUAGCAAUCACUUGGAGUCUAAGCUCAACUGCCUUCUUACCACUCACUAGCACUAAUGCAGCCGCACCAUCACUGUCCACAAGCGAAUAGCACCAACUUACAGUGAAAUGAUUGGCAACACCUCAUGGGUUGACAUGCUUGGUUACAUAGAAAUAUACAACAGAAAUCUAUCAAAGCAAUAUAUGGGUUUAACUAAAAUCUGAUGAACUAAAAGAAUCACUAUCUCUUUAGUGGGUUAACAAAAAAGUAUAUGCCCCUAACUUAGGUGUUUAGAUAUGAAUUUAGUUAUUUAUUUUCAAAGUGAAGCCCUAUAUAAAGAAUCUGGCAAGAGUUUCUCAUUUUGGCCAGAUGGUUGGGAAAUUCAAUUGUUCAUCUCACAUGCUACAACAAGAUCAGGUGUUUGAGACUCUUAAGGACAAGGCAAGCAUGUGAGAGCACACACACACACACAUACCUUAUGCUAGAAGCAUUCCCUGCAGUAACUGAACCCCCAUCCUUGAAACUUGGUCAAAGUUUCCUUAGUUUAGCAGCAUCAAACUGUCAAGAUGGAAAUGGAUAUCUUAGAAAGCAAGGAAAAUAGAUGGUACUGAGAACCCAGAACAUGAAUUUGUUUCAUGACAGGUAAGGUAAUUACUGGGUUAAAGAUGAUCUGACUAAUACCAUUUGGUGAUUAGAUCCUAUAUAUUUGUUUUCAUACAUCAAAUUACCCAUUACAUUACAGCAAUGCCCAGGCCCCUUUUAAUUGAUGAAGAUUGAAAUGGCUUGAUAGAAAAAUUGAAGAAUGAUUCGACAUAUUAGGCAAAGUAAAUAAAAUGAAGAGAACGGCACAGGAUUGCUUAUAUCAAUAACCAGUUGCAAAUGGAAGAGUGGCGUCAACAACUUUUCCCAAAUUACAUGUAUGAAUAAGAAAUUUAUAUUUCAGAUGAUGGACGUGAAUCCCUAUGCCCAUAAAUAAUAUUUACCUUUCCUAGACCUUCAUCCUUAUCAACAAGUGCAGAUGGCAAAGUCACAUGGACCCGAUUAGUAUUUUCAAAGCCAUUUACAGUAACUUUAAGAAAAAAUGAUGUGUGAUAGUCAACACAUAAAUCACCCUUGCAAGCAGUACUGUUAUUUUAAUUUGUGUUCACUUGUUGUUCUUGUGAUGCAUGGUUUCACCAAGAGUUCGUUAGACAUGUCCACUCGAAUGAAAUUAGACCGAAGAUUGAAAAAGUAGAAGAAGAUACAAACUAAUCACAGUACAAUUUUCAACCCUACUUGGUAAAUUUCAUUUAAGUUCCAAACAACUAGUGGGUAAAAAACAUUGAGGAAAAUUUCACAACAGCAAACUGUUACCUGUUGUUCUCUUGUUAUCUUAUGCUGAUCAGCACAUAUUUCUGCACAAAUUGCCAUUCCAAAAUCGUUGUAAACAUCCCAGAGGCCAUCUUUGGCCAUACCAUCAACAAUAGUAUCAUGGCCUAAUCGAGAUCCAUUUCUGUUUAUAAGCUCAGAGUCAGCUUAGAUACAUAGACACUUCUCCCUAUUAGUAAGAACGGCAACAAUAUGUACUGGCCCAACAUGCUUCGUUCACAUACUGAGAAUCAUGUUAAACUAAGCAAGCAACUCAAUAGACAUAAUUGAUCACAUGACCCAAAAAGCUAACGUUGCAUCUACUAGGUAUUUAGGCGCAUUAGACAUUCUUUCCAUGCCACCAGCCACAACUACAUCAUUUUUACAUACUCUCAACCCUCUUAAACUAUCACCAAAAAAUUGUAAAAUAAUCCUGAUCUUUAGUUUAGUCAUUUGCUGAAAGUUCAAUUUUUGAAGGGAGUAUUAUGGCUGUUUAUUCAAUUGUGAGCACCCAAAUUGAACUCCCCUAUGAAGAUGGGAUUGACUACACACAGUUCUCAAUUUUCUUCUCUGAUAGAGAGGCAUUGGAACCAGGUUACAUGAUAGGGCAGCUCCGGCAAAUUCCCAAAGAGAGAUGGGCUAAAAUGUGGAGGCAUCUAAAGUACAUCUCCCAUCACUAUGAAUUCCAGUACCCCUAAAGAAAGGAGACAAUAUUGAUAUGCUAUGGAGACAGGUAAAGCACAAGCUUCCCAGGGCCAACCUUGAUGAACAUAGAAGCCAAAGGUUGAAAGCUCCAGACUGGUGGGACCGCAGGAGAUAGUUUCUGCAUCCUGCUUUCAUUACCUUGUAAAUUAAAAAAUCAUUCCUAGUAGCUACAGUCUUAAAGGGGGAAAAUUUUCCACACAACAAAUGGAUAUAUCAAUUCCAAUGUGCUUUGCUGGCUCUUCAUGUCUUGGAAAAAUUUAGAAAGAACCAUCACAACUUUCCCUUCAAAUUUAUGUCGACUAUUCUAGCAUUUUCUCUGAAUAAUUGAGGUGGUUGGUUGCCUUGAAAUUGGUUUUCCCUCUAGCCUUAAUGGGGAGGAAGAAUUUUCUGGACGUUAUAUUUUCCUAGCAGUGUUGGUGGUUGAAAUGAAUUCUUGGAAAUGUAUAUGUUUUUGGUGGUCAUCCUUGCUAGCUGUCUAUGUUUAUAAUGGAAUUUCAAUGAUGAGUCAGCAAUCUUCUUGUUGGCUUUGAGUGAGAGAGUCUUCUUGUAUUCUGUUAAACCAGAGAUUGCCCAAUAAUGCAUUAAUAUGUUAAUUCUUUUUUACACAAUUUAAUUUUUAUGUCUCAGAAUAGUAGUGAUUUGAACUCUCCUAUAUAUCACUCAGUGAACAGAUCGAAAUACAUCUGGAAUCUGGAUGGGUGCCUUGUCCUUCAAGGCAAACCUGGGUUUUCUGAGUUGUCUCAUAAUUCCUAAUUAUCUCUCACAGUCCCUGAGAGUUAAUGCAUUACAAGGAAAAGAGGAAAAGGGAAAAGGCUUAUUAUGGUUGCCAAUUAGAGCCAUCCCACCGGUUGAUGGGAGUGAAUGCUGAUAUCCAUCACCUACCUGAAAAGUGAAAACCUUGGGACUAAUGGUUGUCAUAAUCUGCUCACUGAGUUUCUUUGUGAUGCUCUUGGAAUCAAAGUUUCUGUAUUAUCCUACCUCUAUGACCCAUUUCCAUUGUGAAAAAUUUUUAAGUUGAGUUUCAUUUGGAGAGGGAGACAAAAGCUCCUACUGCCCCCAAAAAAUAAAUAAAAAAUAAAAAAUAAAAAUGAAAGAGAGAGAGAACAGAAAAACAGAAACUAGUGAUGAGCAGGUGCUGGGAUCUGAGGUUCCCUAUGAUUGGGCCUCAAGCAAGGAAGCAGAGUAGUGCAAUGCAAUUGAGCGGUGUUGGCCCCCAAAACAAAACAAAUCAAACCAAGCAGGAGGCAUCCAGACACAAUGAACCCACCACAACCACACAUGUCCACAACUUUCUAUUACAUCUUCUACUUUACCACUAUCACUACUAAAUAUUUGGUGGUAGCAAAUAAAAAGAAAAGGGAAAUCAGAUAUCUGUAUAUCUGAGCUUUAGACUAAUUAGGCUUCUUUGGUGGUAGAAAUGAUUCUAAAUGUAUCACUUUCAAUCAGAUCCACAAAGUUUCCCUGAGGCCAAAAUCCAUAUCCAUGAAAUCUACUAAUCACAAUGCUAGCAUGAUUAUUUUAAUUGCAGAAUUUAGAUUAUGCAAACCAUAAUCAGAUUCGCAAGCCUAAAAAACACACACCGCAUCAACACUGAAAGUGUAUCUCUCUAUUUCCCCAAGGCUACUGUGAACACAUCAUCCAUGAAACAAAAAUCAACUAAACAAAACCGACUGGAAAAAUCAGGGGAACACAUUAUCCACGUUCCAAAUCCAGUCAUCCAAACAUACACCAUGAUUCGAGAAAGUGGAGAGCAGAAACAUUAUAGUAGAUAAACAAAACGAAAAGAUUUUAUUUCUUACCAUGUUGCAAAUUGAAUCCUUGGGCAUGAUACUUCGUAAAUAAGAUUUCAUUGAAUCGUAGGCAUGAAAUCAAAACAUACCUUAAGAAUUGAAAUUAGCAAAUCGAAUCCUACAAAACCCUUCAAAUCAGCAGAUCCUCAUACCUUAGGGCUUAGUAUUGGGCUGAAACAAAGACAAUGGGCACUUGAGAAAAUCAAAAUAAGGAAAUAUGAAAAAUAAGCAAAGCAAAGCAAGGAAAGAAAGGGUCCAAGGAGAAAGGCCUGACAUUAAGAGUUUGGCUAUGGAGAGGCAUAGAGAGGGGUUUAUGGCUGAGCUUUUAAAAUGGGAUAUAUUGCAGCAGCGAGGUUCAUGCGGAUUAGAUGCAUGAGAAAGCAGCCAGUACAUGACUGCAUCCAUAAGGAAACACACUAUCCUUUUAAGCACGGUAAUGAUAGUGGUCUUCACUGUAGAUUUUUGCCGAGGAAAAUUUUCUGCUCAUGCUUGUAUAUUUAGAUGCGGGUGGAAUAUUAUUGAUCCUGUAUAUAAUCUUUAGUUGGGGACUUUUAGACCCCUACUAAAACUGUCACCAUAUCUUAUGUUUCUUGUAGUGUAUAAUUGGACUUUCAAAAUAGAGUAGCUAGGAAAAAAAAUUAAAAAUAAAAUGAAAAAAAUGAAAAUCAUUAGAAAGAAUUUGGGCCUGUUGAUAAGAAAGACGACUUACCAAAAGCUUGAGAUGAAUGUUUAAUAUCUUCUGCAGCAUAUCCAUUGGACAAAUUUGCAAAGAACCUCCAACCACUUGUGCAUAUAGGCGGGCGCGGCCUGUACUUUAUGUGAUUAGGGUGUGAAGAAUAUAAUUGAAGUGUAAAAAAAAUAUUAUAAUAAGAUGAACAACAUGAUCAAGGAACUAAAAAUAUGAUUAGAACAUAAAGAAUAUGAUUAAGAUACAAAAAAAAUUAUGGUUUAGGUAUAAAAAAAAUACGAGUGAGAUUAAAGUAUGAAAAAUGUAACUAAUUAAUUUAUAAUUAGGGUCAAACUUGGACCAAAAUGGUAGAAAAAUAAAUACUAAUUCUUGAUUCAACUAGCUUAACUUACACCAUAAUUAAGAAAUUUAAAAAACAUAUGAUAAUUUUUAAAACUUGAAUAUAAAAUUAAUUUAAAAGUCUUUUUUUUUUUUUUCACCUUUUGCUAAUCAAUAUAUGCAUUCCAUUUUUUCCUUCUAAAUUUUGAACUUAAAGACUUCUAAUAUCUAAAUGUGCUCCUUUCCUUCCAAUAACUCAUUCCAAAGAUUAGCUUUUGAGUAUUAUAAAAUUAAAAAUUAAAUAAUAAAAAAGAAAAGAAAAAAAAAACGGAAUAUCAAUCUAGUAAAUGAAAAGAAAGAAGACGGACCUUAUAGGAGGAUGAAGAAAAGUGUGUUAGGUUGAAAACUAGAGAAGUCUCGAUUUUUUGUUGUGUGGGUUCUCUGCACCAUCAAGACUUCUCCUUAACAUUGAAAUCUGUAUUUUCACUCAAUAACCGAGGCCAAUGGUUGGUGGCAUUGGAAUCUCUGUUGAAGAUGUUGGUUUUAUAUAUAAGAUGAAGCCCACACUCUUCCACUUUCACUUCUUCACCAUAAAAUGAAGCCUUCAAAUGUCUCCAUUCAUUUGACCAAUGCUUAUUCUCAAUAGCAACCUUUGGAUAAAAUGCCACCAAGACUCUAUUUGAUUCACCACAAUUACGGCAAUGUAGAAAGCUACGGCUAAAUAUGAGUAGAUCCAUGAACUUGGAUUUAGAUAAGCAACCAUCCGGAUAAUCAAAGUAAAAAUUAUGGAAGGUCAAUUGACACCAAGGAUCUUCAUAUUCAAAAACAGAGCAUAAGGCAAAUCCCAAAAAGUUGUUAUCCUCCCACCAAUUCUCAGGAAGUUCUACUCCUAUUUUAGAUCCCUUUUUCUUAUGGCUUAUCCACUCUGGAAUUCCAUUAUUUCCAGGCAUUAAAUAUAAGGUCAAAAUUUCGAAUUUCUUCCUCCAAUAGGACCACCUACACUUCUGUAAGAAAUAUUAGUGUAAUUCUUGUGUUUUUGUCAAAAAAAAAAAAAAAGGAAAAAAAAAAUGUUAAAUGUCUUGAAAAUCAUACCUCAAUUGUUGAUUCGAAGCACUUGAACAAGGAAAAACCAAGUAAACUUGAGAGACUUGAUAAAGUUUCCAGGCAUGGGCAGUCGUGGACAUCAAGAGCUCGUAAACUCGGUGGAAGCUCUGGAAUUUGUAGAAGCUUCUGGCAGUGAUACAAGCCGAGGGUUCUCAGUUUAGAAAGUUGAAUGAUGUUGGCAGGUAUGCUACUAAAAUGGUUCCCAUCCAGAGAUAAGUUUUGCAAUGAUGAAACGUGGCAAAUAUGAUUGAGGAUCUCUCCUUCCGUUAGACUGCAGUUACUUAGAGAUAAAUUUACCAGUGAAGAUAGGUUCCAAAUAUCACUAGGGACUCCUUCUUCCAUUAGAUUGCAGUUACGAAGACAUACACUUUUCAAUGAAGAUUGGCGGAAAAUAUCACUGAGGAUUCUUCUUUGAAUUGGACUGAAGUUACCUACGGAUAAUACUUCUAGUGCAGAUAGGUGGAAACCUCUGUAGUCUCUUGAACAUGAUUCUACCAGUGAUGACAGGGACAAAACAUAAUGGUUAAGGACCUCUCCUUCCACUUCAUUUUGUAGUAGAUUAUUGCUCCACCAGAUUACUCUUUGCUUUAGAAUGCAACAAGUUAGAUCCAAAGAUCCCACUAAGUUCACCUCCACUCUCUCCAGUUUAGGGCAUUUUUGGACAUCAAGUUUUUUAAGAGCUCUGCAAAUACUAUCUGGAAGACUCACAAGCUCUGCACAACAUUUCAAAUUCAAGUGUUUAAGAGCCUUUAGACGUCCAAUUGAGGAUGGAAGCUCUUCUAUACCUGUAAAACUUAAAUCAAGCAUUUUUAGAUUUUCCAUAUCAUCUUUGAUUUCUGGAAAACCCUUUAAAUUUGAACACCCCUCCAAGAUGAGAGUUUCAAGAGAGCUCAAAUUGCAAAUGCUCUCUGAAAGACACCUUAGGCUUUUGCAAUAUGACAAAUCUAGGUGUUGAAGAGCCUUUAGACGUCCAAUUGAGGAUGGAAACUCUUCUAUACUUGUAAAACUCAAAUCAAGCCUUUUUAGAUUUUCCAUAUCAUCUUUGAUUUUUGGAAAGCCCUUUAAAUUUGAACACCCCUCCAAGAUGAGAGUUUCAAGAGAGCUUAAAUUGCAAAUGAUAUCUGGAAGGCUCACAAGCUUUGUACAACAUUUCAAAUUCAAGUGUUUAAGAGCCUUUAGACGUCCAAUUGAGGAUGAAAGCUCUUUUAUACCUAUAAAACUCAAAUCCAGCCUUUUUAGAUUUUCCAUGUCAUCUUUGAUUUCUGGAAAGCCCUUUAAAUUUGAACACCCCUCCAAAAUGAGAGUUUCAAGAGAGCUCAAAUUGCAAAUACUCUCUGAAAGACUCCUUAGGCUUUUGCAACUAGACAAAUCUAGGUGCUGAAGAGCCUUUAAACGUCCAAUUGAGGAUGGAAGCUCUUCUAUACCUGUAAAACUCAAAUCAAGAUGUUCUAGAUUUUUCAUAUAAUCUAUGAUUUCUAGAAAGCCCUUUAAAUUUGAACACCCCUUCAAGAUGAGAGUUUCAAGAGAGCUCAAAUUGCAAAUGCUCUCCGAAAGACUCCUUAGGCUUUUGCAACUAAACAAAUCUAGGUGUUUAAGAGCCUUUAGAUGUCCAAUAGAUGAUGGAAGCUUUUCUAUACAUGUUUCCUUCAAAUUAAGCCUUUUUAGAUUUUCCAUAUCAUCAUUGAUUUUUGGAAAGCCCUCUAAAUUUGAACACCCCUCCAAAAUCAGAGUUUCAAGAGACCUCAAAUUGCAAAUGCUCUCUGGAAGUUUUGCAAGGUUUCCGCACGAUAACAAAUUAAGGUGUUUAAGAGCCUUUAGAUGUCCAAUUGAGGAUGGAAGCUCUUUUAUACCUGUACGACUCAAAUCAAGCAUUUUUAGAUUUUCCAUAUCAUCAUUGAUUUCUGGAAACCCCUUUAAAUUUGAACACCCCUCCAAGAUGAGAGUUUUAAGAGAGCUUAAAUUGCAAAUGCUCUCUGAAAGACUCCUUAGGCUUUUGCACCAUGACAAAUCUAGGUGUUGAAGAGCCUUUAGAUAUGCAAUUGAGGAUGGAAGCUCUUUUAUACUUGUAGCUGUCAAAUCAAUCUCUCUUAGCUUACUCAUAUUUCCUUUGAUUGCGGGAAAACUCUUCAUCUUUAAACAAUCUUUACAAGAGAGACUUUGAAGACGUUCCAACUUAUGAAAGUUUCUUGGAAGACUCUCAAGGCUCCUACACCCUAUCAUAUCCAAGAAAACAAUUAGUUAAUAACUUUAAUAAUAAUAGUAAUAAAUAAACCUUUAUAGUAACUUUAUACAACCUUUUAGAAUUAGGAUCUCCAAAUUUGUCACCCUUGAAAAGUCUGAAAUUUCAACAAGUUUCUCUGAGUAACUAAGGUUGAUGACUUUCAAGUUGUCAAGAAUCUGGAACAAAAUAAAAUGUCUUAGUAGAUAAUUUUUUUUAUAAAUUUUAAAAUUAUUAUAAAAACUAUUAAUGAAACAACAAUUAUAAUAAUACCUCAUUCCCUUGCCAAAGUUGUUUUAUGCUGCUAUGCUUUAAAUUAAGUUCAACAAGAUUCUUUGCAUGAAAAUUUGUUGGCAAGGAUUCUAAAGGGUAUCCCUUAAAAUGGAAAUAUCUUAACUCAAAAUAAGGAAAAUCAAGAUUCUUGAGGGCCUUAAAAUCUUUCUUCCACAUAUGUGGAUAAUAGACUUUGAGCAAUCUAAGUCUAUUCAGUUUUGUGAAAGAAUUUGUAGAUAUCUGGCUUGCUAGAGAACCUUGUACAAAUAGUCCUUCAAUUGCUUGAGUCCCCUAAAAAAUAAAAGCCAAGAAUAAGUCAAGCACAAGAUGUACGAAAAUCAAUUAAGUUAUAUAGAUUUAUUAUUUCUUAAACAAAAUACAUUUGGCUCUUACCGUAUUUCUUGUUAACACACUAUCAACAUCAUUACAAUCCCAGAGUCUACUCCUGUUUCCAGGCUCUUUGAGACAUUCUUGACGAACAAUUUCUUGGCCCAUUUGUUGUACUAAAUCAUGCAUAUCUAACUUGUUUUCUGAAAUAGUAAGAAGACAUUUAUCAUUCAAAACUUUUAUUCCCAUCAUUGCAUAACUUCCUAAUAUUCUUGAAACAAAAUCUUUGUCUUUUCCUCUGAAAAAACAUGCAAUAUCCAAGAAUAUCUCUUGACAUGUAUGAUCCAAUUUAUCAUAACUUACUUUAAGCACAUUUUGAACUAUCUCGUCAGGUAUUUUUUUUACUUUAUGCAAUUCACUUUCCCAUUCAUUUAUUGACUUCUCAUAGAGAAAGCCACCCAAAACUUUAAGUGCUACUGGAAGACCAUGAGUAUACUCCACUACACUAUUUGAAAGGCUUUCAAAUCCAGUUUUGGGAGUAUUUUGCUUGAAGGCCCACCAAUUAAAAAGUUCAACAGAUUUUUCAUGAUUCAACUUUUGCACCUCAUAAAGUGCUUUUACUUCAUGUUGAUCUAACAAAUGUUUAUCUUUAGUUGUUAUGAUGAUUAUACUUUUUGCACCAUACCAACCAUGUUUUCCAGCCAAGUUUUCUAAUUGCAUGUAGUUGUCCACAUCAUCAAGAACAAUAAGGACUCUUUUCGAUCGAAGCCUUUCCUUUAUCACAUUGAUUCCUUGGCUAAUAUUGUUGAAUUUUGGCACUUUACACUUGACGAUAUCUUGAAGAAGUGUCUUUUGUAAUUUAAGUAGACCAUCUUCACAUUUCCCCCCAACAUUUCCAAGAAAGCUACAACCAUCAAAUUGAGACGAGAUAUCAUUAUAAAUAGCCUUAGAGAUGGUAGUUUUGCCAAUUCCACCAAUCCCAUAGAUACCAACCAUGAGAACCUCAUCCAAUUCAACUUUUAUAAGUGAUUUUAAUUGCGUCAAAUGAAAGUCCAUUCCAACUAUGUUGUAGCCCAUAUCUAAAGGCGUACGAUUCAAUCUUAUAGCGAUAUCUUCAUAAAUCCUUUGAAUAAACUCUGCCUCAGAUCUAUUAAUCAUAAAAUAUGUGGUAUUAGAAUAUGUCACAAAUAUAAUCAAUAUGAAAUAAACUUGAACAAUAGAAUGUAAUAGAAAAAAACUUGAACAAUAUUGAUUAAUUUAAUAUAAUCAAUAUUAAAUUACUUAUUUAAGUACAUUCUAAUUAUUCCCAGCUAUUAAUUCAAGUAAGAAAAAAGUGAAAAAUGUAAACUUUAGUUGCUUACUUUGUUGAAAGGUUCAAAUUGAAGUCGACUAGUAUAGAACAUUAUUCGACUUCAUGAUAAGGGAUGCUAUAAUCAUAACACAAGCAUAUGUCAAGCUUCAAGAUAGCUUCCAAUUUGGCAUCCAAGUUCCCUAAUCUAGUAAUACCUUUCUUGAUUAAAGAGAAUUGUUACUCCACUAUGCUCUCACAUAACUUUCUUUCACCCUUUAUUUAGUAAAAAAGAUCUUUAAAUUCCUUAUUCCCUUGUUUCUAUGUUUUAUCAACUUACCAUUAUUUUAAUGAUUUGUUUUUUGAUUAAAAACCUUUAAUUUAAUUGAAGAAGAUUUGAAAUACUUCUUAAAGAAAAUUAAUAUAAGAGAAUAGAGAUUCAUUUUUGUUAGUGCUUUCAUAUUCACAAUGCUUUCAUUAUGAGAAUAAAGUUGGUAAGUUAAGUAAAUAUAUAUAUAUAUAUAUAUAUAUAUAUAUAUAUAUAUAGUAACAGUUUUUGGGGAUUGAGCAUAGGGCCAACUAACCAAACGGUCAAUGGAACAAACUUUUUAUAAAAUAAAAAUAAAAAAAUAAAAAUAAAUAAUGUAUCAUUAGAUCACAAAACAGGUUAUCCAAGAAGAAUAUCAUACUAAAAAUAUGAUCAUUAUAGUGUAGCAAAUUUGGAUGAACAAGUCUUUGAACAAUUUAUGCACAAAUACUAAGAAUUGAGACUCUAAAUAAUAAGGAAGGUGCAUGAGAAUCUUUGCAGUGAGUGAGCAUGGAAUUCAUGGGCAUUAUACAAUCAAAAUGUCUUUGCAAUAUAGAAUGGUUAAACAUUAUACUAGGCUUGUGUCUAUAAAUUCUAGAUCUCUAAAGAGACAUGACCAUUCAAGGUGUUAUAAGAUAAUUGUAAUAGAGAUGAUAGAAACUACAGAUGUAGGGAUCCCAAAGAGAUGAGAAAAUCCUUCAUGCAAGCAGCCUAAGUUUAUAAAUGUCAUUUACACUUUCACUCUUUAAAAUAAUAUCUUACUAAAAGUGUUCAUUAAAUUAAACUAUAAUAUUAAGCACUUAAAAAGCUUUAGAUUUUGAAUAUAUUAGAGUGAAUAUGAUGAGGAUGAUGAUGAUGAUGAUGAUAGUGAUGGUAAUGAUGAUAAUAAUCAUAAUAACUAUAACCAAAUGAUGAUAUAAUUAGUAAUAGUAAUUAUAAUUAAUAUCGAUAGUAUUUGUAUUAUAAACCGUAGUAGUAGUAGUAAUAAUAAUAAUAAUAAUAACAAUUAGCAGUAGUAGCAAUAAUCAAUAUUGAUAGUAUUUUUAUUAUAAAUUGUAGUAGUAGUAAUAAUAAUCACAAGAAAGUAUAAAAGAAUGAAAUAGAAAAGUGAAAUGGAAGAAUAAAUAAAUAAAUAAAUAAAUCCAUUUGGACUCUUUUUCAUUGAUCAAAUAUUAGUCAAAUAUUUAGUAGUAAUUUUUUUGUAGAAAAAGAAAAAUUUUUAAAAACAUAAAAUAACAAAAUUAAAAUGGAAGAAAAAGAUAAAAAUAAUAAAUAAAUAAAUGAAGCUAUUUAUUGGACUUUUUAUACUGAUAAAAUAUUAGUCAAAUAUUUAGUAGUAAUUUUUCCUCCAACCCUAGGUCCUUACACUAUUAAAUUAUUUAUCUCAACUAUUUAUUAAUAAAAUAAAAGAAUGAUUUACUUGUAGGUCUCACCAUGAAAUCCAAGGUCACGCUACCCAGCUUUGUAAUUUAAGAAAGUAGGAUAAAAUUUAUCUAGUAGAAGUAUAGUUACUGAUUCUGCAGAUGAAAUCCAGACAGGUUGGCUGCUAUCUUCAAGGCAUUCUUCCACGUUUCUAUUUUCUUCUUCUUCUCUUGAUCUGCAUCUUUUGCAUGCUCCAAAAAUGCAUCUUUAAAACUUCCUCCUUGAUUUCGUACAUCUGUUGGCUCCACAUGGUAGAAAACCGGCAAAACCACUGAUUUCUUUUCUGUCAUACAAUCGAUGAUCUUUACCAGUUCAUUCAAACACCACUUGGAGUCAGCAUAGUGUUUCGAGAAAAUAAUAAUAAAAAUCUUUGAUUCUUCGAUAGCUCUCGAGAGAUCUGAUGCGAUAUCUCCUCCUUUCUCAAGUUCUUCAUCAUCUCUGAAGGUGUGAAUUCCACGUGCAACCAAAUUAGCAUAAAGAUGACCAGUGAAAGUCUGGCGGGUGUCUUCACCUCUAAAACUCAAGAACACAUGAUAAUUAUAACCAUCACAAUUAGAAGUGGAAGACGACGCUUUUAAGGUGCUACUAGAAGCCAUUUCUGGACUGGAUCUGGCAAAUUACAAGGAGGCUAAGAACGGAAAGAAAGGGUCUUUGGUUGCUAAAUGGCUGUUCUUCUCCUCUGGCAAGCAAUUUUCCUUUUCUUUUUUUUUUUUUUGUGUUGGACGCAAGAGGGAAGAAUGAAAGUUCAUGGAAGAAAGAGAAAUACUGUUUGAGUCAACAAGCUAAAUUGUCCUGUUCCAAUUGUGGGGCUGCCACUAUUGCUCAGUUUCUCAGAUUCAUCGCGGCUUCACAUGAACCAACAGCUGGCCUCAAUAAUGAGACUUGCGAGUCUGUUGAUAUCCAUUUUAGGUUUUUCACUCUAUCAUUUUACUUUUAUUUCCCUUCCUUUGCCAUUCAAAAAUCAAAGCUCAUUCUUUUACAUCUAUGCCAUGUCCAUGUUUCUUCCAUUUUUCCAUUUUGAUUUAUUCUUUUAAUUUUUAUUGGAUUUUUUUUACCCAAUGAAGCUGUGAGACUCCUACGGUCCGUUUAGCAGGAUUUCUAAAAACCACUUUUAGUAUAAAAGAUAAUCAUAAAGAAAAAUUACGUAUCAAGAAAACACUUUUAAAUAUUUGAAAAAUUAUUUAUAAUAUUUUUUGGUGAAUCAUUUUGCCAAUAAUUCUUUUAAAAAGAUUUUGAAAGAAAAUAUUUUAAUUAAAAACAUUUAAAAUAUAAUCAUUUAAAGUAUAUUUGAUGAUAAUUUUAAGAAGUGUUUUAGGGUGUAUUUGACAAUAAUUUUAAAAAGUGUUUCUACUAUUUAUAAUACUUUAAAAAAUUUAUUUUUAAAAUAUUAAAAACACUUCUUAAAAUUACUAUCAAACGCUCUGUUAAUAUUUCUAAUACUUAAAAUAUUUUAUCAUUCAAGUAUUAUAAAUAUUAGAAACACUUUCUAAAAUCACUUUCAAACGAAUUCUUAAUAUACAAUGUGUGAUAAUAUUUCUAUUUGAACUGUUUUUAAUAAAAACGAUUUCUUUAAAAAUGUUUUUGUGAGAAUCAUCAAUUAGAGACUUCUCCCAAAAGCAUUAUGAGUGAUUUUUCAAUUUUUUAAAAGUGUUGUUUUAAGUGUUCUCUUAUUACUUCUCUAUGAAGCACUAAAAUUAUAGUAGAGUUUAAAUUUUUAUUCAAAAAUACUUUUUAUAUAUAAAGUGUUUUUUAAAAUUACAAUCAAAACCCUUAAUUUAAUUUGUUCAAUUAAUGAAAUUUUGUCAAACUCAAGUGAUUCAAGUUCAAUAAGAUCACCCUAGUUGCCAAAAAAUGAUUAAAUUUGUACAUGAUGAGAAAUGUUAAAUUAAGAGACAGAAAAAACAAAAUUCCUAUUAAAAACAUUAGGAAAUUGUAAAAGGACAAUGUAGCCAUGUGAGUAAAGAGAAUUUUUAUCUGGAUGGAUGGAAUAAAUAAAUAAACACAAUUUCCAUGAAAUCUUUUGGGAGAGGAAAUAUGUUGAAGAAAUUAUCAUUUGUAAAAUUGGUCAUGAAAAAAAGUCUCUCCUUUUUGCUUUAUGCAUUGUUUUUAUUAGGGUUUAAUAAUAUUUCUAAACUUCUUAUUCAAGAAAAUUGAACAAUUUAAUGUUAAACGAAAUUUAUGAAUACAAGUAUUAAAUACUUUUGGCUCCAAGACCGUAACUAAGUAUUUUAAAAAAAUGAAAAGAUGGAGUUCUUUCAUGAAAAGCUAUUGCCUUAAUUUUUUUCUACUCAAGAAUUGUGAUUCCCAACUUUAAUUAUAAAAAAAAAAAAAAAAAAAAAUAUUGAAGUUGCUUUUGAUCUGCCCAAGAAUCCAUGAUUCCCGCGGCAUGCUCAAAUAUUUUUGUGUAGCUUUCAUGAAUGAUGGCACCCAUGUGGUUUUGGGAGGUUCUCAAUAAAUCUGUCUUUGUGCAUGUGAGAGGGCACCCAUGGAGAGUGACAUAUUUAAAAUUCUCUAUUUGAAAAUUAGAUUUGCACAAAUGAAGAGUGGGAAUUGCACCUACAAUAUAACAAUACAUCUACACUAAACAAAGAAAUUCACUACCAAACACGAAAUAUUAUAUAUAUAUAUAUAUAUAUGUCACUUGCUUAUAAUAUAAAUUAAUGUAAUAAUGGUUGAGGUAUGAAAUUAAGUACCUGUAUAUGGAAUCUUAGAAUAGAGUUUAAUUGUAAUCAUAAUUCGAUUAGAUGAUUUCGAUCAUUGAAAGUAAUCAAUUCGGCUUUUGAAUAGGUACUUGUGAAGUAAUAAUGAAAAUGGUUGUGUCUUUCCUCCACGCUUGACCUCCACUUUUCAUCCAUGGACACCAAAUUUUCACCCCUAUACACUUGCAUGUGAUAACAUAUAAAAAAAAUUAAAUUUUAUACAUGGAAUAUCUACGAGCCAGAUAAUUUAGCAUGAAAGCUUUGUGUUCUAUUAUCUUCAGAAAUUUGUAGAAGAGUAUAUAAUAAUAAUAUAAAAAAUAAUAAUAAACAUCCUAUAAAUAUAAAAGAAGCAUUAAUUUUUAAAAUCAAGAAAAUAAAAUAAUAUUAAUAUUUGAAUGGUAUUAAUCUAUGGAUAUGUUGAUUGAAGUAAUUCUUAUUAUUGUGUUUAAUUCUAUAUAUUUUCUUUAUCAUUUUUGUUAUAUCUCCUUAAUUAUUCUUAUUGUUUCCAUACAUCUUCUUGAUUAUUUUUUUACAUCUCUUUAAUUAUUUUCAUUAUAUCAUUCAACCAUUUGGUGUUUUGAUUAUUUUUAUUUUUUUUCAUUUUAUGUUUAUUUCCUUUAAUAAUGUAUAAUUGUUAAGGAAUAAGAUUAAAAAAUAAAUAAAGUCUAUUCAAUAAUAUUUUUAAAAGGUACUUUUAAUAUAAAAGAAAUUAAGUAUUUAAUAAAAAUUAAAAAAAUUAGUUUGUAUAAAUAAAUGGUUAAAAACAUCUUAUUUUUCUUUAAAAAUAUAUUUUAUACUAGAAGUGAUUCUCUAAUAUAUUCAUAUUAAAUUUAAAAGUGAAACUAGCCUAUUAUACAAUAAGUUGGAGGAUCCCACCUAUUUCUUGGAGCAAUGGUUAAAACCUCAGAGUUGGAGGAUUAUUUUCAAAGUGUCAACGGAAAAAUCCAAGCUCCAUGGACAAUGGUUUCUCAAAAAAUUAAGGUUGAGGGUAUUAAGGGCCUUCCUCAAAGAGGACUAUGGGCUGUACCACCAAACUCCUCUUUUUGUUAUUAACAUAUGAUAAAAUUAAUUUUCAGACUAAUUUAUAUUUUAUUUUAUUGGAUGAUAAAUAUGUUGGAAAUUAUACUUUUAUAUAAUUAAAAUGGUGCUACAAUAAUUAAAAAAUCUAUUUUUUUCUAUAUUUAUUCAUUACAAGAAAAUAGGAUUUAAUAAUUGGCCAACAAGCCUCAUUAAAGAUUUAAUUAACAUUUUCUACAAAUUUUAUUAUUUUUUAUAUAAAUUUUUUACGUAAAAAAUAGUGUUUUGAAGAUUGAAUCAAGUAUUGAAUAAGAAAAAAUUUUAAUGACUUCAUUAGCCUUUCAUUUAAUAAUUCUAUUUUACUUGGACAACUUUGUCUUUUUCUUUACUUUCUUUUUUUUUUUUAUAAAAAAAAUCUAGUUUGAUAUUGAUUAACAAUUGAUUCACUUAACAUUUAUUCUAAGGUCUUGUUCUAAAAAAUGAUAUCAGAAGAUAAAUUUAUAAAUAUAAAAGUUGAAAUUCUUAACAAAAUUAUAUAUAUAUAUAUUAUUUUCAAUUAUCUCCCAUUUGUUGGAUGAUAAUGGGAUUGCUUUGUUGGUAUAGUGGGUUUGGUUGGAGUUAUUGAUUUUGGUGCUAUCUUUUUAUUUUUAAUUUUCCUAUUUGUUGGAUGAUGGUGGGAUUGGUUUGUUGAUAUAGUGGGUUUGAUCGGAGUCAUUGAUUUUAGUGCUAUUUUUUUAUUUCAAUUAUCACAGUGUGUUCACUAAAAUAGUGAUUUAAUUUUGGUCUAUAUUUUCAAUUAUUUCCCUUUUGUUGGAUGAUGGUGGGAUUGGUUUGAUAGUCAAGAUUCCACAAUUCUCUUACAAGUUACAAUUUCAUUCAUUUAAUUUUGGAAAAUGUUAAGUUAUUGUAAUAGUACCUAUCAUGUGAUAGAUCUGAACCGUUAAAUAUAUAUAUGGUAAAAUACAAGUUUCAAUAAAGGUAUAAAUAAAUUAACUAAGAUAUAAAUAUACAAUUAAAUAGAGUUAGACAAUAAACAAAAGAUCAAAAAUUAUAUAUGUAAUACCAUUUAAUUGAUAAUGUAUUUUUGAUAAAUAACAUAAAAAAAAAUACUAUUCAAGUGAUGUAACCAAACACUUUAAUUUUUCUUUACAUUUCUCAUUUGGAUUUUACUUGAUAUUCCCAUAUCCUUUUUUUCUUAAAACAACUUUUUUUUGCUUCUUGCUUAUUAGUAUUUGGUGUUUUUCCAAGGAAGAUAAGAUCUUUAAUAUUUUUCAUUUUUUCUUCAAUCAAACAAUUGUUACACCCAAAGUGGUUAAAAGUGUGACUGCAUGGGACUAUGCAUCUUAAUAUUUAUAUCAAAUUAAAAUCCUUCUGUUAGAAUUAUAUUUUUGUUAACAAGGAGUAUUAUGAAAUGCUUACCACCAAAAUAAAAGUAGAAAUGUUAAAAGUUAAAAUGUUACGUAAAUAUGGGGAUUUUGGCACUAAGAGUUUGUUAUAUUGAUAAGAUAAAGAGAUGCAUGACAUCAAUAACAAGGAGAAAAAUUGGGAAAGUUGAAUUUAGGUUGAUUUUUUCUAUACAAUAUUAAUUUUUAACCCACAUAACCAAAAAUGGAAAAUCGGAGGAAAGAAAAUAAAUGUUAAAUAUAGAUUAAAUUAAUUGACAAAUCAUAACAAAUACCUAAUAAAAUAUAGUAGAAAAGGAGUGUGUUUGAAAAUGAUUUUAAAAAACGUUUAUAAUAUUUCUAAUAUUUGAAUGAUAAAAAUUUUCAAGUUUUAAAAGUAAUACAAAUAUUUCCUAAAUUAGAACUCUUGAAGUUGGAAACACUUUCUUAUCUUUCAUGUGUACAAGUGAUCCUCGCAAGCACAUAAAUAAAAUAUGGUAUAAAAAAAUUAAGUUUUGUGAAAAAAGUAAAGAAUAUGGUCAUUUGGGUUUUAUGUAAUUUUGACCAAUCGAAACAAUCGAAGCCAUCAAAAGUAGAAAACAAAUAGAGCCAAGUCGUUAAUUUUAACCAGCAGCAUAUAACCAUAAGAUCAGAUUCAUGAUCUGAGUAAAUGUUCCGUCAGACUCUGGAGCCAUGUUUGGAACCAACCCUUGAAAGAUUUCAUUAUCUGCCAGCACCAAGUCUCUAGCUAGGUGAUGCAGUGAUACGGUGCAGUAGAUUCUUCCGGCGGUAGAUCGACUGCAAUGGAGCGAAAAGCUUGCUUUAUCUUAAGCAAAGCCCCAUUGCAAUCAUUGAAAAGGCAAUUAACCAUUUCUCUAAUAUAUCCUCACCAUACCAAGCAGAAGAUGCCUGCACAAUCAUAGUGCAAUUGGUACAUGAAGCAAAAAAGAAUUUAAUCUGUCAAAAAAAAAAGAAAGAAAAGAAAAAUCCGAACUGAAUACGAAAUCAAAAAAAUCAAAAUAAGAACCUAUAUAGAAAAUGAAAAACAACUGAAAGAUUCAACAGUUCUAUGAAACAUAGACAAGCUAACAACAAUCAUUCACUUGUAAGCCAUGGCAAACACUGAAAACUAUAGUGAAAUAGAAAAUUAAACCUAAAUAAUAGUAGUAAUAAUAAUAACAAUAAGAAAAACCUACUGUUUGGUUGACAAGAAAAAUUGGAACCAACCAGUGCAAGCAAGCAUAUAGCGAUGCUCUUCUUAGAUUCAAUUCGGUUAAAUAUCAAGUAGUUGGCUUAAAGUUCCACUCCAUAAGACCUUUCACUCUCUCUCUCUUACUCUAUUUUCUCCCCCCGUCUUCACUCCUAAUCAUCCUAAACCAACUGAGCUCCUCCACAACCCAUUGAAAGACACCAAGUUGCACCAGCAACAGAAAUCAUAGCUGCACCAAAACUGUUGAACAACUCAAGAAGCGUGAUAGCAGUUAGGAGUUUGUUUUAGUUUGUUAUUAGGUUAAACUUGUUGAGAUAUUAGGAAUGCUUUUCUUGUAUCAUUCUUUCCUUAUAUCAUUCUUUCCUUGUAUCAUUCUUUCCCAUUCUUAGAAUGGUGAUUAUCCUCUAUAUAUACUCUGUACAUGAACGAAUAAAAGAAUGAAUGAGAUAAAUAAAUAAAAAACACACACCAUUCAUCAAUUUGAAGAUGGUAUCAGAGCCAUGAAACUGAAAUCUUGGAUAUUUUGUCUGUAAGGCCAACCAUUGCUUUCAUAUACAGAUUUGCCAUCCAGAUUCCGAUCUCCGUUACCCAAUUUUCUGAUUCGUUGAUCUUCUGUCCUUCGCUUUUGAUUUCAGAUUUAUUAUUAUUCAUGUGGGACCAUAGUCAUUGGAAUAUCGGAGUGAAAAAAAAAAGAAAGGAAAGAAAAAAAAAAGGAAAAAAAAAUUGAGUGAAAAAAAUACUAUUGUUUUUCAAUCUGAAGGUACGUUUAAUCCAUGAAUUAUUUUGACUGAAUCAAACUAUGACGUUUGGUCACAACUCAUGGAGAUGCAUAUUGCUGAAAGGGAAAAACUUUCCUACAUUCGAGGUAAAACAAAUCCACCAAAAGAGUCAGAAGAUGGAUAUGAAAAAUGGUAUGUUGAGAAUCAAAAGGUGAAGAUAUGGUUGUUAAUGUGCAUGAGUCUAGAAAUUAUGAAGUGUUACUUACGCUUACCCACUGCUCAAGAAAUUUAGAGUGCAUUAUCAAAGGCCUUCUAUGAUGGAAGUGAUGAAUUACAAGUUUUCACUUUGAAUAAAAAAGUCUUCACUGCCAAACAAAGCGGCAGGUCUCUUUCUGAAUAUUAUGGAGAGUUAACUGAGAUUUUUUGCGAAUUGGAUCAUCAGGAUAAGGUAGUCAUGAAAGAUCCUGAUGACAUUGCAGCAUACCAGAAAUCCAUUGAAUGACAACGAGUGCACAUCUUUCUUGCUGGAUUGGAUGGUGACCUUGAGCAAGUUCGAGGAGAGAUUCUACGCAAAGAUCCUCAUCCCUAUUUGGAAUAAUGAUAUGCACUGAUUUGACGAGAGGCAGUGCAUCAUGCUAGUAUGAAAGUAGAAUCUGAAAACCCUGACACCUCAGCUAUGGUAGUCCGACAACGAUCAACCCAGAAUUGGUAGGACCAAUCCAAGACCAAUCAUCCUAAGAUAGGCCCUAAUAUUGAUAAGUUAACCUUCAAAUGCACUCACUACAAUAAGACUGGUCAUACUAAGAGUCGUUGCUUUGAAAUUGUGGGAUAUCCAGAUUGGUGAGAUCAUAAUCAUGAUCAAUAGAAGAAGGAUUUCAAGAAAACCUCGACUACAGUUGUUGUCGAAAUAAAAAGAGAGGCUAAUGCUGUUGAGAAAGUCUUUGCAUUGGUAGCUGCUAUAGAUUAUGGUGGUAAGGUUUUAAAUACUUCCACACUUGUUAUUAAUAGUGCAUGGAUAAUUGAUUCUGGUGCUACAGAUCAUAUGACUUUUGAUUCUAGACAGGUCUCACCCCUUAGACCUUCCUCACAAAAAAUCGUUUCCAUAACCAAUGGUAACACAACCUCAGUCAUUGGGGAAGGAUCCUUAACUCUUACUGAUACUUUGAAUUUGGAUUUUGUUUUAAUUAUUCCACCUUUAGAUUACAAUAUUUUUUCAGUUUCUCAAAUCACUACAACCUUAUCUUGUAUUGUCAUUUUUUGGCCUGAAUUUUGUGUUUUUAAGGACAUCCAAACAAGACAGACCAUUGGUUAUGGUAUUAAAUGGGGAAAACUCUAUUACUUGGAUUUGCAGUCAAAGGAUUCCAAUAAGUUGCGACAAACCUUGAUGGUAGAUGGAUCUGAGGGGAAUGAGAAAAAGUCUGAAAUUUGGUUGUGACAUCGACGUUUGGGACAUGCUUCCUUUGGUUAUUUAAAAAAAUUGUUUCCUAGUUUGUUUGCAAGGAGUGAUAUUUUUGGUUUCCGUUGUGAUAUUUGUGAAUUGGAUAAAAGCCAUCGUACUUCGUUUCUGUUAAUUUUGAAUAAAAGUCUGCUUCCUUUUAUGGUUAUACAUUAUGAUGUUUGGGGCCCAUCCAAAGUCCCAACUUUGAGUGGCUUGCGUUGGUUUGUUAUUUUUAUUGAUGAUUGUACCAGAAUGACCUGAUUAUACUUGAUGAAGACCAAAGAUGAAGUGAACUUGUUGUUUCAAAAUUUCCGUAAAAUAAUUGAAACUCAGAACAAUGCAAAGGUUCGGGUUCUGCGUAGCGAUAAUGGUGGAGAAUAUCAGAUUUUUUAUUUUCAAAAGUAUUUGGAAGGACAUCGCAUCAUUCAUCAGACUACUUGUUCCAAUACAUCCUAGAAAAAUGGAGUCCCUAAACGGAAAAAUCAGCACUUGUUAGAGGUUGUUCAUGUUUCCUUGAUAGCAACAAAAAUGACGAUAUCUAAUUGGGGAGAAGCAAUCACAUCUGUCGCAUACUUGAUUAAUUGAGUAUCUUCCAGCUCAAUUGACUUCCAAACAUCUUUCCAAACUCUUACUAAUGUCGUAGUUACCCCAACUGUCCCAAAUCUACCUCCUCGUGUUUUUGGUUGCGUGGCAUUUGUGCAUCUACACAAACACCAACACACCAAGUUAACUUCCUGUGCAUUGCAAUGUGUGUUUGUUGGAUAUGCAUUACACAAAAAGUGAUAUCGAUGUUACCAUCCUCCAACUCGACGAAUGUUUAUUACAAUGGAUGUGGUGUUUAAUGAAGAUUCGAUGUAUUUUUCAUUUGAGUCUGAACUUCAAGGGGAGUACCAUAAAGAAAUUUAGACUCUCGAUUAUGAUUAUCAUAUCUCGGAAGGGGAUGAAUCCGAAAGAUCUGAACUAGUGAACAAAGAAGCGAGUGAAUUGGAUAUGAGUGGUACAACUCUAGAACCAAGUAGUAAUGAAGCUCCCGUGUCAGGAUGGAGAUUUCCAAGCCAUAAAUGUAAGUAGCUGAGCGUCAUAAAUGUUUUCAUUCAAAGUAAAGCUUUUAAUCGCUCUGACUUGCUUUGAAUGGCCAAUACUUGAUAACCUUUUGGUCUCAGUGGAUUCUUAUUGUUAGAUCCACUGAUGUUCAUUAGUUAUCUCCUACGAGCCAUUAUAUUGCAAGUCGAGGAGAUGACCUAUACCAAUAAAAGAGCAUUUAUGAGGUUCAGCUACCCUUUUUGUAAGUUUUCAAGGACUAAAACUCAGUUGUUAAACUCAUACCGGUUCGGGAAGUAAGCAUCACCUUAGUUACUUCCCCAACUCGAGGUGAAAAGUCCUAAAAUCUCCAUUUUUACACAGUGAGUUAAGCAUGGCUAUCCAAAGCUUUGAGAAAUUUCUUUUUCCAUCUUUUAACCUAUUUUCAUGUUAGUUUAGUUUACAACACCUUCAUCUUUUUAUGUUUUCAUCUUAACCUAAUUUUUAUUAAGAAAAGUUCACUCCAUCCUCUGAACUUCACCAGUUAAAGUAAAAACCCUUCCCAGUGUUCGAUCCUAGAGCCACUAUGCUAUAGUAGCUUUGCUACUUUAGUGUAAGGACCUUAGGUAUAAAUUUUGUUGAUACCCUUACAUGCCAAGCUACCAAGAGUCGGGUUAUCAAAUGGCGCCGUUGCCGGGGACAGUUGCCGGGGAAGGUGCUACUUCACUGUGAAUACAUUAGCCGGAGGUAACUUGUGAGACUUCUCAUGAGUGAGGUGAAUUCUAUCUCAUUUUUCAUUUACUAACUUUUUAUUUUAGUUUUAGAACAUUUUUAACUUAGUUUAGAUAAGUUUCUUUUAGCUUUUAACUUUCAUUUUUAGUUUAUUUUUCAUACUCUGUUUUUCCUUCCGCAUGCUCUGUUUUUUUUUUCUUUUUCUUUGUUUUAUUUAUUUGUUUUGUUCCAGCUGAAUCCGUGCAUGCCCUAUUGGAUUAGAGACCAAGAGGGAAGGUUAGUGCGGAUAGAGACUCCACGAGCUACUGAAUUAGAGAUUAUUUUGGAAGUCAUGGAGAAUCAGCCAGAGGAUCAACAUUCACAACACGGGCAGGAGAAUGAUCCGAACUUGUAUAGGUCCAUGAGGGACAGGAUGCACCCUCCGAGGAUGAGUGCACUAUCUUGCAUCAUUCCUCCUACAGAGCAAUUGAUUAUCAGGCCACACAUCGUGCCUCUGCUUCCUACUUUCCAUGGGAUGGAAAGUGAAAAUCCAUAUGCGCACAUAAAGGAAUUCGAAGAUGUGUGCAAUACUUUUCAAGAAGGGGGAACAACUAUUGAGCUUAUGAGGUUGAAGCUCUUUCCAUUCACAUUAAAGGACAAAGCCAAGAUAUGGCUCAAUUCCUUGAGACCGAGAAGCAUAAGAACAUGGACAGAACUUCAAGCUGAUUUUUUGAAGAAGUUUUUCCCUACUCAUAGAACAAAUGGAUUGAAGAGACAAAUCUCCAACUUCUCAGCACGUGAGAAUGAAAAAUUUUAUGAAUGCUGGGAGAGGUAUAUGGAGGCCAUCAAUGCAUGUCCUCACCACGACUUUGAUACAUGGCUUUUGGUGAGCUAUUUUUAUGAUGGCAUGUCAUCUUCAAUGAAGCAGAUAUUGGAGACAAUGUGUGGGGGUGAUUUCAUGAGCAGAACCCUGAGAGCUAUGGAUUUCCUAAGUUAUGUCUCAGAGGUUUCCCGNNNNNNNNNNNNNNNNNNNNNNNNNNNNNNNNNNNNNNNNNNNNNNNNNNNNNNNNNNNNNNNNNNNNNNNNNNNNNNNNNNNNNNNNNNNNNNNNNNNNNNNNNNNNNNNNNNNNNCCAUAUCAGUCACCAGCCCAAUUCAAGCCAACAAAGUCAAGGUCAAUCCUCAGUUGAGCAAGCACUCAUAAGCCUUAGCAAGGUUAUGGGAGACUUUGUGAGUGAGCAAAAAUCCAUCAACUCUCAACUAAAUCAGAAGAUUGACAACGUAGAGAGUACAUUGAACAAGAAGAUAGAUGGGAUGCAUAAUGAGUUGUCUAAGAAAAUUGACAACAUCCAAUAUUCCAUCUCAAGGCUCACAAAUUUGAACACUGUCAAUGAGAAAGGGAAGUUUCCCUCUUAGCCUCACCAAAAUCCUAAGGGGAUACAUGAAGUGGAAUCCAAAGAUGAGGAUUCUUCAAAGGUGAGGGACGUGCAAGCUAUUAUCACUUUGAGAAGUGGUAAGGAAGUGCAUCAGCCGAAGCAUGAUCAGAGGAAAGCCAAAGAAGACAAGGCUGAUAGAAAAGAAGAAAAGAAGAAAGAACAAAAGGGAAAGGAAAUUCAGAUGAAAGAAAGCAUCAUUCCUAGCAUGGAUGAGGAACUUCAAAUUCUUUUAAAGGAAGGCAUGAUGAAGAAACACAUGCCUCCUCCAUUUCCUCAAGCCUUGCGUGGGAAGAAACCGAUCAAGAAUGCUUCUGAGAUUCUUGAUGUGCUAAGACAAGUGAAGGUGAAUAUUCCUUUACUUGAUAUGAUCAAGCAACUACCCACAUAUGCAAAGUUUUUGAAGGACUUGUGCACUGUGAAAAGAGGACUCAAUGUUACAAAGCAAGCCUUCCUACUUGAGAAAGUGAGUGCUAUAAUCCAAUGCAAGUCUCCAAUCAAAUACAAAGAUCCGGGGUGUCCUACAAUCUCAGUCAAUAGUGGAGGAACCCAAGUGGAGAAGGCAUUGCUUGAUUUGGGGGCAAGUGUUAACUUGCUUCCAUACUUUGUAUACAAGGAGCUGGGGUUGGGAGAACUCAAGCCAACAUCGAUCACCCUAUCCUUAGCUGAUUGAUCAAUGAAAAUCCCCAGGGGGGUAAUAGAAGAUGUAUUGGUUCAAGUUGACAAAUUCUACUAUCCAGUAGAUUUUGUGGUGCUUGAUACGAAUCCUAUUGUCAAAAGGAUCAACUAUGUUCCAAUCAUCCUUGGAAGACCAUUCCUUGCAACAUCCAAUGCAAUCAUCAAUUGUAGGAAUGGGGUCAUGCAACUCACUUUUGGGAAUAUGACAUUGGAACUCAACAUCUUCCAUCUAUGUCAAAAGCCCAUCCAUCCUGAAGAAGAUGAGGGCCCAGAAGAAGUGUGUAUGAUAGAUACCCUGGUGGAGGAGCAUUGUAAUCAGAGUAUGCUUGAUCAGUUUGAAGAGAAUCCAGAUGAAAGCCAUGAAGAUCUUGAUGAUGGGUUAGUUGAACCCAUGAGAAUGAAUGUCGUUAUGUCAAACUGGAGACAAAAGCCAGUGAUCCUCCCUUUGUUCAAGGAUGAGGAAGAGAUAAAAGAAGCUAAGGAUGCAAUCCUUAAGCUUGAAUUGAAGACCCUUCCUGCCGAGUUGAGUAUGCUUACUUGGAGGAACGCAAUAAAGCCCCGGUGGUAAUUUCUUCUUCUUUAACCGUUUCACAAGAGGACAAUCUUCUAAGAAUCCUUAGAAAGCAUAAGAAGGCCAUCGAAUGGCAAAUUUCUGAUUUGAAGGGGAUAAGCCCAUUGAUUUGCAAGCACCAUAUUUAUAUGGAGGAGGGAGCUAAGCCAACUCGUCAGCCACAGAGGAGAUUGAAUCCUCAUAUGCAAGAGGUAGUAAGGGCUGAAUUGUUGAAGCUUCUUCAAGCGCGCAUCAUUUACCCCAUUUCAGAUAGCACUUGGGUGAGUCCAACCCAAGUUGUUCCAAAGAAGUCCGGGAUAACCGUAGUCAAUGGGGAAAAUGGAGAUGAAGUGUCCACACGCCUCACAACUGGUUGGAGGGUGUGCAUUGACUACAGGAAGCUGAAUACAGUAACGAGAAAGGAUCACUUCCCUUUACCUUUCAUGGAUCAAGUCCUUGAGAGAGUAUCUGGGCAUCCUUUUUAUUGCUUCUUGGAUGGGUAUUCCGGGUAUUUUCAAAUAGAGAUUGAUGUGGAGGACCAGGAGAAGACUACCUUCACUUGUCCAUUCGGCACCUAUGCUUAUAGGCGGAUACCUUUUGGAUUAUGCAACGCUUCUGCUACCUUCCAAAGAUGCAUGCUUAGCAUCUUUAGUGACAUGGUUGAAUGAAUCAUGGAAGUCUUCAUGGAUGACAUAACUGUGUAUGGGACUUCUUUUGAGGAUUGUUUGUCACAUCUUGAAGAUGUUUUGAAAAGAUGCAUAGAGAAAGACCUCGUACUCAAUUGGGAGAAGUGCCAUUUUAUGGUAAAUCAAGGUAUUGUUCUUAGGCACGUAAUCUCAAAGAAGGGUAUAGAGGUAGAUAGAGCUAAGGUGGAACUAAUUGUGAAGUUGCCACCUCCCACCAAUGUAAAAGGAAUAAGGCAAUUCCUUGGGCAUGUCGGGUUCUAUAGGAGGUUUAUAAAGGAUUUUCCAAGAUUGCCAAACCUCUUUGUGAAUUAUUGGUGAAGGAUGCCAAGUUUGAGUGGGAUGAUAAAUGUCAAAGGAGUUUUGAGCUUCUUAAGCAAUUCUUGACAUCAGCGCCCAUUGUGAGAGCACCAAAUUGGGAGUUGCCAUUUGAAGUGAUGUGUGACUCAAGUGAUUAUGCCAUUGGGGCUGUUUUGGGACAAAGAGAAGAUGGUAAACCUUAUGUGAUCUACUAUGCAAGCAAGUCUUUGAAUGAUGCUCAAAGGAAUUACACCACCACUGAGAAGGAAUUACUUGCUGUGGUGUAUGCUUUGGAUAAGUUCAGAGCUUAUUUGAUAGGGUCUUCCAUUAUGGUAUUCACGGAUCAUUCAGCUUUGAAGUAUUUGCUAACCAAGCAAGAUGCCAAGGCUAGGUUGAUUAGGUGGAUACUUUUGCUUCAAGAGUUCAACCUCCAGAUCAGAGAUAAGAAAGGUGUUGAGAAUGUGGUAGCUGACCACUUGUCAAGGCUCAACAUCGCUCAUGACACCCAUGGACUUCCCAUAAAUGAUGAUUUCCCUGAGGAAUCCUUGAUGCUUGUGGAGGAAGUGCCAUGGUUUGCACACAUUGCCAAUUACUUGGUCACGGGAGAAAUACCAAGUGAAUGGAGCUCUAAGGACAAGAAGAAUUUCUUUGCCAAGGUCCAUGCAUAUUAUUGGGAGGAGCCUUUUCUCUUCAAGUAUUGUGCGGACCAAAUUAUAAGGAAGUGUGUGCCUGAACAAGAGAAGCAUGGGAUCCUAUCUCAUUGCCAUGGGAAUGCAUGUGGAGGCCACUUUGCCUCUCAAAAGACGGCAAUGAGAGUUCUUCAAUCGGGCUUUUGGUGGCCCUCACUUUUUAAGGAUGCCCAUGAGGUAAGUAAAGGAUGUGAUAAGUGCCAAAGACUAGGCAAGAUUUCAAGGAGAAACAUGAUGCCUUUGAACCCCAUCUUGAUAGUGGAUCUUUUUUAUGUUUGGGGCAUAGACUUCAUGGGACCUUUCCCUAUGUCUUUUGGCCACUCCUACAUCUUGGUAGGAGUUGAUUAUGUUUCAAAGUGGGUUGAAGCUAUACCCUGUAGAACCAAUUAUCACAAAGUGGUUCUCAAGUUCCUAAAAGAAAACAUCUUCUCGAGGUUUAGAGUGCCUAAAGCAAUCAUCAGUGAUGGAGGCACUCACUUUUGCAACAAGCCCUUUGAAGCUCUUUUGGCCAAGUACGGAAUUAAGCAUAAGGUAGCUACACCUUAUCAUCCUCAGACAAGUGGCCAAGUAGAGCUAGCCAACCGGGAAAUUAAGAACAUCUUGAUGAAGGUGGUGAACACCAAUAGGAAAGAUUGGUCUGUUAAGCUCCUUGAUUCCCUAUGGGCGUAUAGGACGGCUUAUAAGACUAUCCUUGGGAUGUCACCGUACCGUCUUGUUUAUGGCAAAGCUUGCCAUCUUCCCGUUGAGAUUGAGUUCAAGGCAUGGUGGGCCAUUAAAAAGCUCAACAUGGAUUUAACUAAGGCUGGGCUAAAGAGGAGUUUGGAUUUGAAUGAGCUCGAGGAAUUGAGAAAUGAUGCCUAUCUCAACUCAAAAAUAGCUAAGGAAAAGCUAAAGAGAUGGCAUGAUCAGUUGGUGACCAAGAAAGAAUUUUUCAAGGGACAAAGAGUCUUGCUAUAUGACUCUAAGCUUCACCUAUUUUCGGGAAAGCUCAAAUCAAGGUGGGUAGGGCCUUUUGUCAUCCACCAAGUACACUCACAUGGAGUAAUUGAGUUACUCAACUCAAAAAGUGCAAAGACCUUCAAGGUAAAUGGGCAAAGACUCAAGCCCUACAUCGAGCCAUUUUCCCGUGACAAGGAGGUACUCAUCCUCCAUGACCCAUCACAUCCUUGAGAAAGUGUGGUAAGUUGAUGAGCUUAGCAUGAAAAGCUAAGUGCUCAUCUCUUUUUGUUUUAAUUUUAGUAUUACAUUCUUGUUUACUUUGCAUUUUUAAUACUUUUGCACAUAUGUUGUUUAGGUUUCUUAGUUUUGAUUUUGAUUUUUUAUGUUUUUAAUGGAGCUUUGAUGUCCAAUAGCAGGUACGAAAGCUCAUAAGCUCACAAAUGUGGAGAGAAAGGUGAAAUAGGGGAGAAAUAUAUCUAAGUCCAAGCUUAAAAGCCCAUUUCGCAACUCAAAAAGUGAGUUGCGAAAAUUUGGCAAGGUGAAUUUCACCUUGCGAAAUGCACAUUUUGGCAAGAUGCAAUUUACAACCUCUCGGGAUUGCACUUUCGCAAGGAGUAACCAGUGCGAAAAUUUUCGCAAGGAGUAACCAGUGCGAAAAUUUUCGCAAGUCAUUUUUCACCUUGCGAAAUUGUUUUCAAAGCAAAUAUCAAAAUGAAACCUCUCGGGACUGGUUUUUAAGGGGAGUAGCUAAUGCGAAAAUUUGGCAAGGUGAAUUUUCACCUUGCGAAAUUUUUUCUUCAUACUUACCAAGGAUUUGAUUCUUUUUAAAUUCAUUUUCAAACUUCAAUUUUGUAGUUUUAACACUCCUGAUUAGCUUUUGAGUAUAGUAUGGAUAACUAUCAUCUCCCCCCAACCUAAGUCUUUCUUUAAGCUUAACAAAAUUAACCAUCUCUUGAUAGGCUAGGAACGCACCUCUUAUUCACAAUUCUUUUCACUUACUAAACUUAACCAAUUCACCCAUGUAACAAGCAGAGGAUCGGUGACUCCCAACCAAUAAAGGCUUAGGGCACCAGGCUUUAAAGGCUUUCGCCACCCCUUCGGACCAUGCUUAGGUUUCAAGGCAAGCAAAGAAGUUUAUGCUAUUAUUAUUAUUUUUUUUUCUUUUUCUAUUUUUACAAAGACUCAUUGGUCUUUAUGAGGUGUCCCAACACUAUUAAAGAGAGGUUAAAGGUGUCAAAUUAUGAUUUCUCAAGCUUAGAGGGUGAGAUAGUUUCACAUCUUAUAACUGGAAUCUAAUGUAUGUGUGUGCGAAUAGCUUAAGUGGAAGAGAUAAGUUUGCAUGCAAUGGGAGUUUCAACAAUUCAUCAGCUUUNNNNNNNNNNNNNNNNNNNNNNNNNNNNNNNNNNNNNNNNNNNNNNNNNNNNNNNNNNNNNNNNNNNNNNNNNNNNNNNNNNNNNNNNNNNNNNNNNNNNNNNNNNNNNNNNNNNNNNNNNNNNNNNNNNNNNNNNNNNNNNNNNNNNNNNNNNNNNNNNNNNNNNNNNNNNNNNNNNNNNNNNNNNNNNNNNNNNNNNNNNNNNNNNNNNNNNNNNNNNNNNNNNNNNNNNNNNNNNNNNNNNNNNNNNNNNNNNNNNNNNNNNNNNNNNNNNNNNNNNNNNNNNNNNNNNNNNNNNNNNNNNNNNNNNNNNNNNNNNNNNNNNNNNNNNNNNNNNNNNNNNNNNNNNNNNNNNNNNNNNNNNNNNNNNNNNNNNNNNNNNNNNNNNNNNNNNNNNNNNNNNNNNNNNNNNNNNNNNNNNNNNNNNNNNNNNNNNNNNNNNNNNNNNNNNNNNNNNNNNNNNNNNNNNNNNNNNNNNNNNNNNNNNNNNNNNNNNNNNNNNNNNNNNNNNNNNNNNNNNNNNNNNNNNNNNNNNNNNNNNNNNNNNNNNNNNNNNNNNNNNNNNNNNNNNNNNNNNNNNNNNNNNNNNNNNNNNNNNNNNNNNNNNNNNNNNNNNNNNNNNNNNNNNNNNNNNNNNNNNNNNNNNNNNNNNNNNNNNNNNNNNNNNNNNNNNNNNNNNNNNNNNNNNNNNNNNNNNNNNNNNNNNNNNNNNNNNNNNNNNNNNNNNNNNNNNNNNNNNNNNNNNNNNNNNNNNNNNNNNNNNNNNNNNNNNNNNNNNGAAUUUAAAUGAAGCUGAUAGCAUGUACCCCAAAAAGAAGAUGAACUAUUUAGCUCAUCCUCCACUCACACACCCUACUUCAUGCUGAAUUCCCCCUGGAUCCCAAACAAAAUUGGCAUCCUUUCCCAUUUGGUCCAAGGGAAUUCGUUUCUCUUCUCUUCCCUGGAGAAGUGGAUGCUUUAAAGGGUUCAGGUAACCCUUUAUCAUCUUGAACCUUAUGAUUUUCAAUGGAAGGUUGGUCCAUAGAGUUGUCAUAGCAAUCCCCUACCAAAGUGUCGAUCUUUAAUACUUUCCUUAAUCUUUUUGCAUUGGUUCCUUGAAGGUUAUGGUGGGGUUGAGGAGGAAGCUUCCUUUUCCCCCUUGCUAUGUCGAGAUUGGUGAGUUUCUCAAUGGAGUCUUGAACUUUUUCUAUCCUUAGUGAUAGAUCAUUAUAAACCCCCUCCAUUCUUACAUUUAUUGAACUCUCCAAAUUAUCAAUCUUUUCAUUAAGAUGAGAGUUGAUCUUUUGUUGUUCACCUACAAAGUCCUCCAUGACUUUGCUUAUCUUCAAAAUGGCUUGCUCCAAUGAAGAUGUACUCAUUGAUGGUUGAGGUUGAGGUUGGGUUGUAAGGUUUUGAUGGUUAUUCCAACUUGAGGUGUAGGAGCUUUGGUAACCGUACAUGUCUCUCACAAUUGGAAUGGUAGGGCACUCCCCUACCGUAUGCUCAUAUGAAUCAUCUCCAUUCAAAGCAUACUUACUACCCCAUUGGCUUUGUUGAACUUGCCUUUUCCCUAAUUCAAUCCGAUCCCUCAUGGAUAGGUAUGCGAAUUUGUCCUUCUCAUAAUCAUAAUGAGAGCUUUGAUCUUCAUGUGGAAUUUCCAUUUCUAAAAAAAAUGAUAUUCAACUAAGGCUCUUUUCUUCAACUUGUACCAGGGUUCCCUCUUGGUCUCGAAUCCAACAAGGAAUGCACAAAUUGAAAUUAAAACAAAAAUAAAAGAAAAGAGAAUAAAAAAAAAUUAACUAAAUAAAAACUAAACUAAAAAAAAUUAUAAGAAAACUCACCAAACUUGUGAUGAAGAUCACAAGUUACCCUUAAUGGUUGCUUCACUGUGCUUGUGGCACUUUCCCCGGCAACGGCGCCAUUUGAUUCGACUCAUGGUAGCUUAGCUUUAAAGGAGUAUCAAUAAAAUUUAUACCUUAAAUACUAUUACUAAAGUAGCCAAGCUACUAUAGCAUAGUGGUUCUAGGAUCGUUCACUGGGAAGGGUUUUCGUAAACACUAGUGAUAUUCAAAUUAGGAAAAUAUGUGAUUUUCUUAUGGAUGUUAGCUUUAAAAGAAAGUGUAAAUGUUUUAGAAAGAUUUAAACUAAUCUAAGCUAACAUUAAAGACUAAAAUGAAAGGGUGUAAAAACAAGUUUCUCAAAGAUAGGAUAGCUAUGCUCUGGCUCUUAUGCAAAUUGGAAAUCUCAGGAUAGGCUCCUCGCGUUGGGGUUGCAACUAUGGUGAUGCUUGCUUCCCGAACCGGUAUGGAUUUAGCAAAUCAAGUUUUAAUCCUUUAAAAUGGCAAAACAGAUGGUAGUGAAUUUCAUCAAUGGUUAUUCACCUUAGACUUCUUUUGAAUGACUCGUAAGAGAUAACUAAUGGUCUAAAGCUAAAAGUUUACCAAAUAUUGGCAACUCAAAGUCAUUCCAGGUGAUAAACUCACCUUUCAAUGGCCAUUGAAAUUGGUUCUAACGGAUUAAUGCAAAACUUGGAAUUGAAAACCUCACCUUCCAAUAGCUCGUAGGAGAUAACUAAUGGAUAGAAAUCCAAAAGCUUAUCAAGUAUUGGCCGUUGGAAGUUGUCCAAAGGAAAUAAAAACCAAACUUUGCAUUAAUGAACCUUUAAUGAAAAACGACUACCUUACCUUCCAGGUGCGAGAAAUUUCCAUGGGAUUGCAUCCAAGUCAUCACAUAACAUCCAUACUUCGAGAAACUAAAAGUUUUAGCCAAUCAUCCUCUGAGGAAAAGCCCUCAGAGGCUGUUUGGCUACUAAGAAAAUAGAAAUGGGGAAGAACAGGAGAAGAGAGAAAAACAGAGCAAGGCUCCGUCUCUGUAUAUCCGUCUAUAUAUGUGUAUAUUUUACAAUGGAUGCACGGGAAUAUAAAUAGAGAAGUUUUUUCCAACCUUCCUAGCUAAGAAAUCUUAUGAUUGGUGGAUUACAAGGAGAAGAAUGGAAAUUUAUACAAAAAUAUCUAAAAGAAAAUAUCUCGCGUGGAGUCGGCAAAACAGAGGAAAAUUCGCACCACGCAUGGGCUGUGCGAAUUUUGAAGGUGUUGUGCGAGUGUUGUGCAAGUUUCGCACAAGCUUCGCACAAGAUGAAGGUGUUGUGCGAGUGUUGUGCGAGUUUCGCACAAGCUGAAGGUGUUGUGCGAAUUUCGCACAAGCUGAAGGUGUUGUGCGAAUUUCGCACAAGCUGAAGGUGUUGUGCGAAUUUCGCACAAGCCUGGAGCAGUUGUCUUCCAAAGGCCAUAUCUUCCUCAUUUCAGCUCCAAAUUGUAUACGGUUUAAAGCGUUGGAUUCUUGACUUCCUGAGCUUUGAAAUGGUAUAUAGCAUGUAGAAAAUGGACUUUGGAAAGUGCUCCAAAAGUGCAAAGGAAGACUGCAGCUGCUGUCAUCUAUUUUCUUCACUUUCUCUUUGCUUCUCUUUGCUUCUUUCCUUUGCUUGGCUUGUCUUAAUGAUCCAAAAAGCUGUCAAAACACUAAAACUAGCCACAAAUAUGAUUAGAAGUCAUUGCUAGGUCCUUAACAUGCCAAUUGGAAUAAAGAUGGAGAAUUACUACACAAAAGUGCUUAAAAGAUAUUGAAUUAAAGGUAUAAAAUAGCACUUUUUGGGUAGUAAUCAACUCCUCAGUUCAUCCCCGUACUUAGACAAAUUUUCAAAAAAAAUUUCAUGGCCAAAAACCCUUUUUAAAGCCUUCUCAACUUCAUUUUUCAUGCAUAAAAUACUAUUCCCCUUGCAUUUCCUCUCUAGGCCGCGUGCUUCAUUGUUUCAAGGUGAGUAAUUUUUCAUUUUUCUCCAUUUUUGGCUCCUUAAAUUGCUUGUUUAUGUCAUUUCUAUGUUUUAGGAACCAUAAACAUGCAUUUUCAUCCAUUAAAACCAUUUCAAAAAUCCAUUUUUUCAAAUCAAAGACCCAUAUGGCCGGCCACCAUUUUUGCAAAAAUCUCUAUCUUGCAAUGUGUUUUAGGCUCCCAAACUUACUCCAUUGCGUUUAGAAUCAUGUUUCCAUUAAAACCAUACCCUUUUUCUGAAUUUUAAACCGUUAAAAAUGAAAACUCAAAUUCAAAGUAAGCAUUGGAGAAGAAGAUGAAUAGUGCAUGUGAAUAGUGCUGCGUGAAUAGUGCCCGUUGCCAAAUUUAGCAACCACUAUUCAUGCCUUGCAAAUUUUGCACUGGUUACCAUUUCAACUGUAUUUUUGACACUUUACCCCUGGGAUGCUCUAUUUUUCGUGUUUUUCAGUCUUAUUUCAGUAUUUAUACCAUGGCACGGACACGGGGGACAUCCUCUUCAGCUAGUCAGCGUGGGGCCCACUCACAGAAAGGUGGUCAUUCUACACCAUAUCAGCCUGCCCAGACCCCAGUUCCCUCUACUCAGCACGGGUUCGAGACCAGACGAUCAUCUGGGUCUUCCAUGGCACCAAUGCCACCCCCUGUGAGCAGUCCUCCACCUAAGAGGACUAGGAUUUCAGGACUAGGCGAGUCCUCCAGAGCCCCUCCAUCACCUCCAGCAUCUACUAUCCCAGGCUCUUCACACCUAGCAGAGGUCCUCAAGCGGCCUAUGAUAGCAGGUCCACCCCUACCAGGCAACACGGAUAUCAGAGAUAGGCCAUUUCACGAUGAGAUCUGUAUGGAGCAUGAGACUCUCCGCCUAUUACCAGAGCUAGAGGAGUCAUACCGCCUUCUGCAGAGGUACCACAUCGAGCCAUUUAUGACUCCUAGGUCCUUCUAUUACCCUAGGGUAGUCUUAGAUUUCUACCAGACUAUGACUACUAGAGGCGUUCAGGACCCCAUAGCCAUUCAUUUUUUGAUUGAUGGCCAGCAUGGUAUUUUAGAGGCCCGAGAUAUAGCCGCCGCUAUGCAUUUUCCGCCUAUCCCUGAGGACCUUGGUUCCUUCCGGCAUUGGUCUCAGUAUUCAGAGCCCGACAUGGUGUCUACCUUAUCAGGAGGUAGAGUCACUGGUAGGACCAUUUUGAAGAGGGAGCUUCCUCCACGGAUGUUACUUAUCGAUUUGGUGCUCCGCACCAAUCUUUUUCCACUCCAGCAUGUCGUCCAGAGGAGAGGUGCUAUCCUAGAUGCACUUUACCGCAUCUCUGAGGGAUUCUACUUUGGACCCCACCAUCUAGUCAUGACUGCUCUUACCUAUUUUGAGGAAAAGGUGCAUAGGAAGCGCCUACGCAGAGCUGGUACUAUUCCACUCUUAUUUCCGAGGCUGAUCUCUCAGGUCUUAGAGGAUAUGGGAUACCCUUCUCAGCCCCACCUAGAGCGUCGUCAUCAUUGUCGAGAGCUCUUUACCAGUGAGAGUUGGACCCAUUUCUUAGACCGCUCACCCAUGGACCAGGGUAUCCCUAGACCAUUAGCUCCCGCGCCUCCAGCUUCUCCAGCACCUCCCGAUUCUCCAGCAGCUCCCGAUUCUCCAGCAGCCUCAGCACCUACAGUACAAACAUCACCAGAGCAGGACCCACAUACCACAGAGUCUUCUUCUUCAGUACCUGUUCCAGUGACUUGCAUUACUGAUACUCCCACCCCACCAGUCACUCCUGCUCCAGCCUAUGCUGAGUCUUUAGCCGGGCCAUCCAUCACUGUCUCCGCUAUAGAGUUCAGAGCUCUCAUGUCGUCCUUUCACUCAUUGAGCGCCUCUCAGGCCACCUUAGUCCGUGAGAUGCAGGCCAUCAGACGAUAGAUGGAUACCAUACAGACACAUCAGGCUCAGCAUAUAGCUAUUCAGGCUCAGCAUACAGCUAUCCUGGACCAGCACUCCGCCAUACUCUCUCAGAUCCACCAUCACCUGGGCAUAUCACCUCUUCCACCUCAGGAGCCACAUCCAUGAUUGGAUAUUUCUAUCUCCAUUUUGUAUAUGUUUUUUGUAUAUGAUACAUGUUAUAUCAUUCAUUCCUCAUCUUUUUCGAUAGAAACAUUGGGGACAAUGUUCAUCUCGGUUGGGGGGAGAGUUGAGCAAGUAAGUAUUUCCUAUUUUAGUUAGUUAUUUUGUUGAUUUAGUAGUUUUUGACCUUUUUCAAAAUUUUUUGUUUCAUUCUCUAUGGUUGUUAAAGAUAAUUUCUCAAAAUAAAAUAGGAUAAGUCGAGUUUUAACUUAAUUACUUAAGUCUUAGAGUUUGUUUUAUGCUUUCAAAGUUGAUAAUCUAUUGAAGCCCUCUUUGAUUUCGAACUUAUUUCUUCCAUUUCAAGCUUUACACACACCGUGCACAUUAGAUCCUGGAUAUAUGAUGUAAAACUUUCUCACCCUCUAAGCUUAGGAAAAUUUUGACUUGGUUCAUUACUUAAUCUCUUUUUAAUAGUGCUGGGACACCUCAAAAAGACCAAUGAGUCUUAAAAAAAAAAAAAAAAAAAAAAAAAGCUUCUACUCUUUCCUUGAAACCUAAGCAUGAUCCGAAGGGGUGGCGAAAGCCUUUAAAACCCAAUGCCCUAAACCUUGAUUGGUUGGGAGUCAUCGAUCCUCUGCUUGCUACAUAGGUGAAUUGGUUAAGUUUAGUGAGUAAAAAGAAUUGUGAAUAAGAAGGUGCGUUCCUAGCCUAUUAAUAGUUGGUUAAUUUUGCCAAAGUUCGAGAAAAGCUUAGGUUGGGGGGAGAGGAUAGUUGUACAUACUAUAUCCGGAAGCUAAUCUCAUUAACACUUAGCUCAUUAUGGAAGAGUUUGAUCCGGAACCUUGAGAGUAGAGAUUCUUUUGAUACUUAAUUGCAUAAUCUCCACUCUUUGUACUUUUUGUUUAAGUUUUAGCUUUGACAACUCCUAUUGCAUUUUGAAUCUUCAUAUCUUUAGUUCACCAUGUGAGAUGUGUUUUGAUAUCAGUCAUGCCACUCAAUUAUUUUUUGGAGUGAUUUGCAUGACCUCUUUUAUGUAUAUUAUUAUGUUUGCUUAGUUUUUAUCUCCUCCAUUGCUAAGGGACUAGCAAUGAGUCGGUUGGGGGGUAUGAUUACUACAGAAAAGUGCUAUUUUGUAGACCUAAUUAUAAGGGUUUUAAGCACCUUUGAGUAGUAAUCAUAUUCAUUUAACCUAAUUAAUUCAUUAAGCUCUUUAGUAAUUAGUUCUAACCAUUUUUAGUGGCAAGUUUACAUGUUUUUCAUCAGCUUAUGAACCAAUUCAAGCAUGCCAAUUGAUGGAGGAGCUACUUGGGCGAGUUAAGCAAGGAUUUUGGACGUUUACAGGCUUGAAUUUCAAGUGGAAACAUGAGCACAAGCAAUGGGAACACCAUUUCGCAAGGGGAGGCAAUUCACUUGCCAAAUGACCAAUUUCGCAAGGUGAAUUUCACCUUGCCAAAAUUUCGCAAGGGGAUUUUCCUCAUGGUGCGAAAUUUGGCCAUUUCGCACCAUGAAGAAAACCACCUUGCGAAAUUUCGCAAGGUGGAUUUAGGCACCUUGCGAAAUGCCAAAUUUCGCAAGGUGGCUUUUCACCUUGCGAAAUUUGGACCUUUCAUCUUCCCCCCUUGCGAAAUGCCUUUGAAAUCUCCUGUUUUGAGACGCUGUUGAUGAUAUUCCACUGCCGGUUCUCCAAGAUAUUUUGCUUGACUUUUAGCUUUGUAAAUACCUAUUUUACCCUUGUAAUCAACCAAUGAAAAGGUUGCUUUUGUAAUAACUCUUGUAAUUUAGCUUUUUAUUGUCUUUAAAUAAAGGUGAAGAGCCUCAGACACGAUCAUCUUGUAACCUGUAACUUUAUAAGUUAUAAGAGCACUUUUGUUCAUACGCUUCUUUUAUCUUUUUCUUUCUCAUUUUCUUAGUAGCCAAACAUCCUUGGAGGAUGAAAUCCCCAAGGAUGAGAGGCAAAAACCUUUUAGUUUCUUGAAGUAAUGGAUGCCAUGUGAAGCUCCCAUGUCAGGAUGGAGAUUUCCAAGCCAUAAAUGUAAGUAGCUGAGCGUCAUAAAUGUUUUCAUUCAAAGUAAAGCUUUUAAUCCCUCUGACUUGCUUUGAAUGGCCAAUACUUGAUAACCUUUUGGUCUCAGUGGAUUCUUAUUUUUAGAUCCACUAAUGUUCAUUAGUUAUCUCCUACGAGCCAUUGUAUUGCAAGUCGAGGAGAUGACCUAUACCAAUAAAAGAGCAUUUAUGAGGUUCAGCUACCCUUUUUGUAAGUUUUCAAGGACUAAAACUCAGUUGUUAAACUCAUACCGGUUCGGGAAGUAAGCAUCACCUUAGUUACUUCCCCAACUCGAGGUGAAAAGUCCUAAAAUCUCCAUUUUUACACAGUGAGUUAAGCAUGGCUAUCCAAAGCUUUGAGAAACUUCUUUUUCCAUCUUUUAACCUAUUUUCAUGUUAGUUUAGUUUACAACACCUUCAUCUUUUUAUGUUUUCAUCUUAACCUAAUUUUUAUUAAGAAAAGUUCACUCCAUCCUCCGAACUUCACCAGUUAAAGUAAAAACCCUUCCCAGUGUUCGAUCCUAGAGCCACUAUGCUAUAGUAGCUUUGCUACUUUAGUGUAAGGACCUUAGGUAUAAAUUUUGUUGAUACCCUUACAUGCCAAGCUACUAAGAGUCGGGUUAUCAAUAGGUUACCAAUCUAGGCAACCAAUCCAAUUGUUUUGUGACAAUAAAGCCACAUGUGGCAUUGCUCAUAAUCCAGUACAACAUGAUCGUACAAAGCAUGUCGAGGUGGACAGAUUCUUCAUUAAGGAGAAGUUGGAUGAUAAGAUUGUGGAAUUGCCUAAGAUUCGAUCAGAAGAUCAAUUAGCCGAUAUCCUCACCAAAGUUGUCUCAAGUCAAGUGUUCUCAAAAAUUUUAGAGAAGUUGGGCAUGUGUGACAUCUAUGCACCAACUUGAGGGGGAGUGUUGAGAUAUUAGGAAUGCUUUCCUUGUAUCAUUCUUUCCUUAUAUCAUUCUUUCCUUGUAUCAUUCUUUCCCAUUCUUAUAAUGGUGAUUACCCUCUAUAUAUACUCUGUACAUGAACGAAUAAAAGAAUGAAUGAGAUAAAAAAAAAUACCAUUCAUCAAUUUGAAGAAAACUGUUAUCAGUGUAUAAAUACCAAUGUAAAAGGUUAUUCUUCAAGAUAGAAAAUUGAAAACAAUAUCUUUCUUGAUACAAAGUGUCACUCACCUCCUCGGACCAUCACACAGAACAUAGUUCUACCUAAAAGGAAAUGAAAACUAAAGCUACGUGACAAGGUUCUUCAGUAAUGCUGAAAGUUAGAAAACCCAGUUCAAAGAAAUUUUUGGUGCCAAGCUUUGUAGAAAAGUCUUAGGGUUCUCAUCGAAGGCAAGCAAUGUGAUACCAAUUAUCAAGUUGAUAUAAAACCCGUAAUUCUAAGGGUAGAGAGAGAGGGAGAUAGGGCCAAACUUAGGGAAAAAAACCAAAAUUCAUUGAAAUAAGUUUGUUUUUUGAUUGAUCAUGAGAAUUAAUAAACCUUAGGACAUUUUUAUUGUUAAAUUUUAACACAUAAGAAAAUCUGGAUAUGGAGGCAUACAAGAUUUUACUUAAUUGGCUAAUAAAACCUCAAGGUCCUAUACAAAUUAACAUAAUUCAAUUGUUAUUAAUGUCUUACUUUUGUGAGUGAAUUGUUGAGUUUUGUGAUAUGGGUUUAACUUUUCAUUGACUUAAUUUGAAUAUAUGAAUAGACUACUUAAUUAAUUUGUCUUAUCCCAUAAUAACACAAUUUAUAUUAUGGAACAUAUAAGAAAAAUUGAUAGGAUCAAAUAUAGUUGGAUCUAACACAUUAUGUUAACAUUAAUACUCAUAUUCAAUUGUGUAUAUAAAUUCAAGAAACUAACACAUACACACAUGUAUAUAUAAGGUUUCAAUUUUAUAAAUAUUUGCAUAAUGAGUAUAUUUCAAAUAAUCAAUAAAAGUUUGUAUCACAUAUAAAGUGAUAUAUUAACAAAAUAUAAUUUAUAGUUAAAUCAUGUUUUCAAAGUAGUGAAAUAACAUAUUGACUAGAGAAUUUAAAAUAUGUAUAUACACACCAAAAACAUAAAUACAUUGAUUCUUGUUAACUUGUGAAUUCAAAAAAGUUUUAGUUUAGCAAAAUCAAUACCAAAAUUUUAUCUUGAUCAACUCAUUGUAUUGGGUGGGGACAUAUCUCUACUAAAAUAUUUGAAAGGAAAAUUUUACAUUUGAGAUGUUCUUAUCCUCUUGAAUUUGAUAGUUUGUUCUUAGUUUGAGAUUCUCUUGCCCUUUGAUAAAAUUAAUAGUGUAAGUACAAAUUGAUAAAAGUUUAGUCAAAAAUGAAAAUUUACUUGAAGUGUCUUAUUCACCUUAAUUAAUAAGGAUCCAUGAGUUGACUAAUCGAGUUUUGAGCCUUCAAGUUGUUUGAGCAUUUUAUCUUCAAUUGCUCAACUUUUUCCAUCUAGAUAUCAAUCAAACUUAAGACUAAGGUGUUAGAUUCCAUUAUUUUAUGUACUAAAUUCGUUUAAUAGAAUGCUUGGUGAUUCAAAAGUAAUAACCUUUGAACUUAAGAAUCAGUCCAAACAACAACUUUAGUAAGAAAAUCAAUGUCAUAAUUUGAUUUUUUAACUCUUUUGGAUUACUUAAGAACAUGCACCAACUUCUCAAAAUAUUCUUAAGCAAAAUAUUGGAAAUUGAAAUGUUCUUUCCCUCUUAAUUUGAUUACUGGUUCUUGCUUCAGACUCUUUAUCUCACUUUUAGAUAUUUAGAUUACAAAAUUGAAUCAAUUGUGAGUUCAAAUUAAUUGGCAAGACUUGGAUCAAAAUUAAAAAUUGACUUGAAAUAUUUGACAUACCUCUAUUAGUAAGGAUUUCCAUGGCUUAACUAACUGAGGUUGGCUCUAUCUUUAACCAAUUAGCUAACUCAAUGAUAGAUUUUUAGUGUCUUGGCAUAUCCAACAAAAACUUGAUCAAAUUCAAGGUUAAAGUGCAAUUUCAUGUACCAACUUAUCAAACAAAAUGUUUAAUACUUAAAGUUAACAAUGCAAUUAAGCUUAUCCUAAAAAUGCUUGAAAACAAGUCCUAAUAAUUUGAAUAAAACAAAUAUGGACUUUAGGCCUAUGGAGGCGUAUGGACUUUCAAAAUAGGGUAACUAGGAAAAAAAAAAAAAAGAAAAAAAAAUGAAAAAUGAAAAUCAUUAGAAAGAAUUUCAUCCCUUUAAAUCACUUAGCUAGGCAAUAUAAACUAAUGAGAGAAAGAAAAAGUGGUUUACCAAAAACCAAGAUAAAUGUUUAAUAUCUUCCAUAACGUAUCCAUUGAACAAAUUUGCAAAGGAACUCGAACCACUUGUGCAUAUGGUCAUCUUCAUCAUUUUGGGCUUCUUUGCCCAUCAACAUUAGUAUCUUUUGUAUAUAAGCCAAGAUGGACAGCAGACUUCAUCCAUGGACUAGCAUUUAGAUGAUGGAACAUCAACUAAUCCAAAUUCAUCAUCAUAGAAAUUAGCAUCAAUAUAAACAAAGUGAGGAAUUUAAGAUACUUUAUUAAAUUCCUUAAGUGAUCUUAAAAAAUAAAUGAAGAUAAUUUACCAAUGAUCUAUCAACUCAUUCUUGAGAGAAUUUGUUAAUAAUUUCAAAUACACAGAGUUAUCCAUGCUUAAAAAAAUAUAAAUUAAAAUCAAGGACAAAAAUACAAAAGAUAUUGGAACAAAGAAGUCAUUUUUUUUAAUAGUAUUCUCAUUUUGAUUCACUAUUAGCAUCUUUUCGACAGUUUCCAAAUUAAAAAUAAUAAGGUAAGAAAUUAAAUAAAAUAAAAAUUAUAAACUAAUUAAUUAUGAAAAACCAUCUUAGAAAAUUAAAAUAAAAUCUAAAAUAAGCAAAUCCAAAUUUAGUAAUUUUUAUUUUUCAUUUUAUUUUUAUUAGUUUAUAUUUAUUUUUGUUUUUAUAUAUGUAUAUUAUUAUUAUUUUUAAAGGAAGCAAAGUUGUUGCAAAUUACAAAAUUAUAAUUGUACUACUAUGAAUAAUUCAAUAUAUUAAUGUCACACUUUAUUUUGUCAAUUUUUUUUCAUAUGUUAAAUGAUUAUGUAUCUAUAGAUAAAAUCUUAAGGAUAAUAAAUGUAUUAUAUUAUAAACUAGUUUAUAUCUAAACCUCAUUAAAAGUUGUAAAAGUUUAAGAGCAAUAUGUCUUUAUUUCUUAAAAUAAAUAGGGAAAUAUACCAAGAAUGUAACUAAGGUACACAUAUGCAUGUGAGUAAUUAAAAAUAGGAAUAAUGUAAUUCACAUAUGAAAAAUGUGAUCAAAGUAUAAAAAUACAAAAAUUAUGACCGAUGUAUUAAGGUAUAAAAAAAUUCCGUUAGGAUGUAAAAAAUGUAACUAAGGUUAUAAAAAAUAUGACCAAGGUAAUAAGAUACAAAAAUUAUUAUUAGGGUAUGAGAAAUAUGACUAAGAUAAAAAAAUAAAAAAAUAAAAUGUUAUGAGGAUGCAAAGAAUAUGACCAAGGUACCAAAAAUGCAAUUAAAGUAUAAAGAAUGUAACUAAAAUAUAAAAAAUAUGAUUAAGAUAUGAAAAAUGUGAGUGAGGUAUUAUAAUGUAAAUAAUGUGACUAAUUCAUUUAUAAUUAGGCUCAAACUUGGAUAAAAGUGAGAAAAAUAAAUAUUAAUUCAUGCUUCAACCAACUUGAUUUAUAGUGUAAUUAAGAAAUUUAAGAAACAUAUAAUAAUUUUUAAAAUCUAAAUAUAAAAAUUAAUUCAAAAGUUUUGGUCCACCAAACUCAAUGAUCAUAAUAUUAGGAAUAUUUUCAACUUUUAUUAAUCAAUAUAAGCAUUCCAUUAUUGCCUUCUAUGAUAUAAUUCUUUCCUCUCAAUAACUCUUGCCAAAGUUAAGCUUUGGAUGAUUCCUAACAUUUAUAUAACCUAAAAAAAAAAAAAAACACUCCUCUUAUCCAAGAAUUGAGGAUGUCAAAUUUUCCUAAAAUUUUGGAGCAAUUGAAAGCAAACUAAUUAAAAGCAAAGGCAUGAAAAAGGAGAAAAAAAAAAAAAAAAAAAAAAAAAGAAAUAUUGCCCCUUUAAAUGAUUUGACCAUGUCUAACAGUAUAUUGAACUCCAUGUUCUUCCAAACGCCUAACAAUUUUAAAGUUGUGCAGAUGUUUCUUUCACUAAUUUUGAUACGUCUAAUAGCAAAUAAAAAGAGAGAAGGCAUACCUCACAGGAGGGUCAAGAAAAGUGUGUUGUGUCUAAAACUAGAGAUGUCCUGAUCUUUUGGGGUGUCGGUCCGCUUUUGGGUGAUCCUCUCGCCAUCACGACUUGUCUUGACAUGGAAACCAGUAUUUUCUCUCAAUAACCAUUGUAGGCAUAUAAUGAUCCUCUUUUUGAUUCAAUUCAGUUAAAUAUCAUGCAGAUGGCUUUAAGCUCCACUCCAUCAGACCUUUCACUUUCACUCGUACAUACUAUAUGCUCUCUCCUCCUAGCUCCUCACUCCUUACCAUCCCAAACCAACUGAGCUCUUUCAUAACUUAUCUCUCCAUACCAUCACACAAAACACAAUUCUACCUGAAAGAAAAUGAAAACCAGAGUUAAGUGAGUGGGUUCUUCAAUAAUUCUAAAAGAUAAAAAAAAAAAAAAAAAAAAAAAAAACCCACUUCAAAGAAAUUUUUGGUGCCAAGCUUGGUACAAAACCCAAUUCAAAGACAAGUAAUGUGAUACUAAUUAUCAAGUCCAAACAUAACCCUUAAUUUUAUGGGCAAAGAGUGACAGAUGUCGAUUACCAAGUCCACAUAUAACUCUUAAUUUUAAGGGCAAAGAGAGAGAAAGAAGUUUAAAUGAAAGAAUAUACCAAACUAGAGCAAACCAAUAUGCAAAUAUUCUAAAUUGAGAACAUCAUAGUGAGGGUAGAUUGUAGAAGCAACAUUUCAACUUAGAUGCAUCGUUUUGAAUUUUAACCUGAUGGAGAGAAAAUAAGAACUAGCAUCCUCGUAAGAUAAGAGCUUCCACAAUGCAUCAUCGUGGGAUCCUCCCUAAAAAUUGCCGCGUGGCUCCCUUUCCCUUGCGACACGUGGCACCGCCGACAUUCCACCCGGACAUCUCACAUCCGGAAUUCUUCUCCGCCGAUAUUCCACCCGAAUGUCUCACCGCCACAAUUCUGUCCGGCCAACGUUCUACCUUAUUCGGAUGUUUCACAGCCGCCAUUAUAUCCGGCCAACGUUCCACCUUCUCCGGAUGGGAGAGGAGGACGAUUCAACUUCCCCGGGCAGACAUGUCCGGAUCCUCUGGUGACACUUACCCGGACAGCUUGGCUCGUCAGAUACUCGUGAUUCGUCGGAUCCAUUUCCGCCAACAAUCAAAGAGAUAACUCUGACAAUACUGACGACCAAGUCUCCUGAACUAUCACUCACAUUUAAUGCAAGAUACAUUCGACAAGACAUUCUCAAGUUUUCUUAGGUCUCCUGACACAUCCCCGAUAUUUAAAGUCAUAAAUUGAAGCGGUGGAUGUCGCCUAAAUAUCCUCCUGACAGCUGCAAUCUUGGACCAGAAACGUCAUGAUUGCUUCAUCACCCUAUAAGCCACAAUCAUGACGAUGGGACCCGCUGGCACAACGAGGCGAUAUUUUCUGACUCAUAUAUAAACUCUAAGAAGGCUCUCAGGGAGGUAAGAGAUAAGAAAAAAAAAAACAAUAAGCAAUAUAUCAUUCUGGAGGUCAUAAGCCAAAAAAGAUAAGCAACAAAGGAUAAACAUCCUGCUGAGUGAUAAACAUCCUUGACAAAAAUCACGGAGCCACACUCCCAAAGGAAGACCUCAUUUUCCAUACAUCUUCCAAAAUACCAACUUAAUCAUCGGAGGGUGUGUCCGGACAACCCAUCCAGACAUCUUUUUUGCAGGAGGAAGAAGGAUUCACUGUAACGCGUUGAUCGAGAUCCCGUUGCUGGUGACGACUACUGUAGCAGUGGAACUUUGCCAUCAACAUUGGCGUCAUCUGUGGGAACGUCUUUUCUUCUCAGUAAAUCCUAUACCUUCCAACUGUAAAGAUGACUUCACCCUCAAGGAGUCGUUCUUCCGCCAGAGGAGACGAAGGUUACUUCGAAUGGCGAAACAUCAUGGAAAGACGAUAGCGAGAGAACGAACGGCAGACGCAAAUUCUGCUCCAAGAAACAAGGAAACUCAGGGAAGAAAACAAUGUCUUGAGGAUCCCAGGCUCUUCCCAACAUCAGCACUAUCAGCGGAGGCAGAAUCCCUACCACUACCAGGAAGCUCCAUUCCCCCUCGAGGCGAGCCCAACCCUCGAGGCGCAUCAAGCAUGGCCUGAUGAAACCCCAGUGCACGCUCACCGCGUCCGACGAAAAGAUAGUUCAGGCUCUACUCGAGUCUCGCCCAAGCGACAACGUGAAAAAAGACCCCAAAUAUCUGACGCGAUGCGCGCACGUCUGGGACCUCAAACACCCUGCAGAAACAGGCCUUACACAGCCAUAUCACUGGAGGCACACUCCGAGCCUUCAAGCUCGCCUACUCUAUAGGGACAUGUCGCCAGCCCACUCGUGGCGCGGGUUGGUAAAGAUCCCUCGCAUUCAGCCCCUCCGGGCUCUAUCAGCAGGUGCCUGGACGACAUACUCUCCACGCCUUUCAGCUCUCGUAUCAUUAAAUAUGAGCCCCCACGAGGGUUCAUCGUCCCGAAAUUCUCCACGUAUGAUGGAUCCAGCGAUCCCUUUGAUCACAUAAUGCAUUAUUGGCAGCUCAUGACCCUAGACAUAGGGAAUGAUAUGCUGUUGUGCAAAGUUUUCCUAGCCAGCCUACAAGGCCAGGCUCUUUCGUGGUUUCAUCGACUGCCCGCAAACUCGAUUGAUAAUUUCCGGGAUUUGUCCGAGGUCUUCGUGGGACAGUACUUAUGCUCAGCCAGGCAUAAACACAAUAUCAGCACCUUGCAGAACAUCAAAAUGCAAGAAAAUGAAACUCUGAGAGAGUUCGUGAAGCGUUUCGGACAAGCUGUCCUACAGGUUGAAUCGUACAGCAUGGACGCAGUCCUCUAAAUUUUUAAACGGAGCAUAUGCCCAGGGACCCCCUUCUUCGAGUCCCUCGCCAAAAAACCUCCUACAUCCAUGGACGAAUUAUUCCGGCGUGCGAGUAAAUACUCCAUGCUAGAGGAUGACAUCCGUGCCGCUACACAGCAGGUCUUGGUAGCUGGCCAGGCCGCUAAAAGCGAAGCCACCAGAAGCUUCAGAGCACCCAACCAUCCUGGGUCAUCCAACAGGGGGCAAGAUGAGCGACGUCCGUCAUUCAUUCGAACACCUCUCACCAAGUCGUAUGAAAAACUGCUUCCUAUAAUCCAUGAUCUGCCCGGCUUCAGAUGGCCAAUACCAAUAAGAUUGAACCCCUCAAAAAGGAACCACAACAAAAGAUGUGAUUACCAUAAAGAUCAUGGGCACACAACUAAAACAUGCAUAAACCUCCAUCACAUGGUAGAGGAUCUCCUAAAGGCGGGACACUUGAAGCAGUACGUCCGAACAGCGCCUAAAGGUGAAGGAUCUUCCUAUGAUCGAGGCCCACGCGCCCCAACGGCUCCUAUUAGGGCAGUGAUCAACUACAUAUACGGAGGACCCUUGGAUGACGAGUACAGUUCCAAAAGGAAAAGGCAGAGACUGCUACGAGCAGCCACGGUUCGGGAACACGUGAGCCCCAUCCGGCCGGGAUUAUCCAGUGGGAGCAUCCAUCCUAUAGAUGGAACCAUUCUCUUCCUCGCUGUAAAUCCCGCCCGAGUGCUGCAGCCGCAUCGAGAUGCUCUCAUCCUAACAUUAGGGGUGGGAGACUACGCCGUGAAAAGAAUCCUGGUCGACCCAGGCAGCUCCGCGGACCUGUUGCAGGUGGCGGUCAUCAAACAAAUGGAUUUCGAACUCUCCAACUUGGAGAAUCCCGGAAGAACCCUGUCCGAAUUCAACAAUUCUUCCACAACCUCACUUGGGGAUGUAACACUGCCGGUUCAAGCCGGGCCAGUCAUCCUAAAUGUUCUAUUCUCUGUGGUUGAGGAUUUAUCUCCUUUCAAUGCCAUUUUGGGACGCAUGUGGUUGCAUGGUAUGAAGGCCAUUCCAUCCACAUACCAUCAAAUGGUCAGCUUCAUCACCCCAAGAUGGACAAAUUAAUCUUUACGGAAGCCAACUCGCUGCCAGGCAAUGUUAUCAGAUCGCUCGCGAGGCCGGGACCAGCGCCGACCGCGAGCACUCCCCCAAAGAAGCAAAUGCUUCUGACCAAUAGCAACUAUAGCACCCGGCGGACAAAGAUCCCCCGGCAGCAGACCCGCUGGAGGCUGUCCGGAUAUCAAAAGGAUGUGAACGCUUCACGUAUGUUAGUACCCUCCUACCGCCAGCCGAGAGAUUCGAGCUCCAAAAGGUGCUCCAACAAAAUUGCGAUAUCUUUGCUUGGGCCCACUCGGACAUGUCCGGAAUACUUCCGAGCGUCGCCUCUCAUCGGCUCAACGUAUUAGCCACCUCCAAGCCCGUUUGACAAAAAAUUCAACGAUUCCACCCGGACAGGCAGAAAGUCAUUCGGGAAGAAAUGGAAAAAUUAUUGAAGGCCGGUUUUAUAAAGGAGGUGGAGUAUCCGGAAUGGUUGGCAAACGUAGUAGUGGUCCCUAAGAAGGGAGGAAAAUGGCGGGUGUGCGUAGGCUACACCAAUCUCAAUGACGCGUGCCCCAAAGACAGUUUUCCACUACCGCGAAUAAAUCAGAUAGUAGAUGCAACCUUCGGGCAUGAAAUGCUAUCCUUUUUGGAUGCUUUCUCCGGGUAUCACCAAAUUCCCAUGGCUCCGGAAGACGAAGAAAAAACUUUCUUCAUAACUCCUCACGGGCUCUACUGUUAUAGAGUCAUGUCAUUCGGACUCAAGAACACUGGGGCCACGUACCAGAGGUUAAUGACCAAGAUUUUUAAGUCGCUGAUUGGCGACAUUAUUGAGGUGUACAUUGACGACGUGGUAGUCAAAAGCAAAACCCGAAGUGAACACACCUAGCAUUUGCAGAAAGUUUUUCAUUUAUUGAGAAAAUAUGGCAUGAAGCUUAACCCAGCCAAAUGCGCAUUCAGGGUAAGCUCGGGGAAGUUCCUAGGGUUCAUGGUUACCCAAAGAGGAAUCGAAAUCAAUCCAGAUCAGGUGAAAGCGGUCGCUGACAUGCUUGCACCAACGAACAAGAAGCAGUUGUAACGCCUCACUGGCAAACUCGUCGCUCUCGGACGGUUCAUAGCUCGAUUCACAGACAAGAUGAAGCCUUUCUUUCUAGCACUCAGAGAUGUCAAUAAAUCUGGAUGGACGCAAGGCUGCCAGAAUGCUUUUGAAGAAAUCAAACGGUAUCUUUCUCAACCCCCCAUUCUAAGCAGUCCGCUACUUGGGGAAAGACUAUACCUGUAUCUAGCAGUUACCGAUUGGGCUGUUAGCGCGGUCUUGCUCCGUUCCUUGUCGCCCCGAGAACAAAAACCCGUAUAAUUCAUUAGCAAAGCGCUUGCCGACGCAGAGACAAGGUAUUCAAGGAUGGAACAGACUGCCUUGGCAUUGCGCACGGCCGCUCAAAAACUGCGUCCCUAUUUCCAAGCUCACCCCAUAACAGUACUCACCAAUCAACCCCUCAGAAACAUUCACCAUAAACCGGACAUAACGGGAAGGAUGCUAUGAUGGGCGAUAGAGCUGAGCGAAUAUGGGAUAGAUUAUCAGCCCAGACUAUCCCUGAAGGGACAGGUCAUGGCAGAUUUUAUAACAGAGUUGCCUGAAGAGCGCGCGCCGGACAAAAAAUCGACUCCGGAUGAUGGGUGGUCUCUGCAUGUUGAUGGGGCCUCCCGCUCGUCCGGAUCAGGAGUCGGACUCCUCCUCAAAGCACCAACCAGAGAACAGCUGGAGCAAUCCAUCCGUCUAGAUUUUCCCGCCUCAAACAAUGAAGCUGAAUACGAGGCCAUCCUAUCCGGAUUGGGCCUUGCAUCCACCCUGAACGCCUCAAAAGUCAAAAUCCACAGCGACUCCCAGCUCGUCGUGGAGCAAAUACGAAAAGAGUAUGAGACCAAGGAUGAGCGCAUGGCUAAAUAUGUCAUGACCCAAAUUCCGGGCGACCCAAAAUUUGGCCCGUGACCCCUGGUCAAAGGUUUGACCCUAAGGGUUUCUCCUAUUCCACGUUGGCAGUCAACUAAAACACUCUGAAUUUUUUUUUAUUUUUUAUUUUUUAUUUCAUAUAAGUCCCACUAGGGUUCUCACCAACUAACAAUAUUUUAAACCUUACUUAAACACAUCAAGAUUUAAUAAACCUCAUUGCAUCCCAAAAUAAAAUUUCAUAAAAAUCCCCUUAAUCAAACUAAGGUCUUAUUACAUUAUCCAUAAUUCACUUAUUACAAGGUCUCAAUACCACAACACAAUAAAAAAAUAAAACCUUUCCACUAAACCGCUCCAGGGGCAUCCUAAAGUCCUCCCUGUCCCAUCUGUGGAUCCUCAGGAGUGAUAUCUGCAUCUAAAAAUAUAUAAAAAGGAAGGGGUGAGCAUUUCCACAUUACUCAGUAGGGUGCCUAACACCCAAAGGGUUAAUGGGGGAUUACUAUAUUUUAAGAACCCAAACGCAACAAUUCACCAAUAUAAAUCAAGUCACACAAUUUAACAUACAACACUAUACUUAAUUCCACAACAUCCACUUAUUAAAUGAAUGCAUAUAAACGUGUGACACACAAUCAUACAAUGCACUAUCGUUCUCGGGCUUUCACCGAAGGAUACGCGUCCGCACCCAAAUAUACUCCCCAUUUGGAGUCUUCUCGAGGUAAACUUUUGGGUCUUUCACCCUAGGGAUCUCUCUCCCUUCUUAGUUCGCCUCACACGGGCUUUCACUUUUCAUCACUAUUUUAUUUUUUUUUCCAUUUCAUACACUUUUCACAAAUUUUUUUUUCUUCAUACAACCAUGAUGCAAAUGAAUGCUACAAACUCCAAAAUUCCUCAAAAAUUUCAACAAUUCCAACAUUUUCAAUAACCCAAUAAAAUAAAAUUUUCACAUUAAAAUUCCCGAAAAUAUACCAACGAAUUUUCGGAAAUUCACACAUCAAUAUACUUGAAUUUAUGUCACAAUUUCAGAAUUUUUCAAUAAUUCUAAUAAUUCCUAAUAUUUGAGAAUAACUAAUUUUUCACAAUAAAAUUACCGCAAAUAUUCCAAUCAAUUUUCAAAAAUUCAUAAGUCACUAGAUUUGAAAUCUUACCCUAAUUCCGGAAUUUUCCUACAUUUCUAGCAAUUUUUAACAACCUAAAAUAAUUAUUUAUUAAUUACAAAGAAUUCCGGAAAUUACAAAAAAAAUCCAGAAAAAAUCCCAAAUCAUUCCAGAAAAUUCACACAACAUCAAAAUUACCUAAUUAACUCAUAAUUAUCAGAUUUAUAAUUUUUUUCCAAUGAAAAAUACAUUAAAUUUGAGUUUUAGGGUUAGUUUUCCCCUACCUCAUAUAUGAAAAUUUGGCCAUUAAAAACAAAAUUAGCCACCGUAGACUUGUUCCUCUAGUCGAAUAGAGCACUUCCUCCGAAUUUGGGCCGAAACGGAGGUCGCUUGGCCGUCCAAACGGCCGGUCAAAGAUCCGGAGAGUGACCAAAUUUUCUGCAGUACUCUCUCUCUCUCUCUCUCCCCGCGUGCUACCAGUUUUCCAAUUCUCCCCCUUUUCCUUUUUUUUUUUUUUAACAACAAAGGCUUCCUACCACCAGCCCAUAUCUAAGCCCAAUCCAUUUCAUAUCUUUUUUUUUUUUUUUAAGACAUCACCCACUUAAGCCCAAAACCAAAAGCCCAACUCCAUUAUUAUUAUUAUUAUUUUCUUUUACAACCCAUUACCUUAAACGGCCAAUAUUCAAAGCCCAAUGAAUAUUUUUAUUUUAUUUCUUUUCUUUUCUUUUCUUUUCUUUAUUCUAAUUGUUUUAUUGGAUUUCCAAUUCAGUUUUUUUUUUCAUUUUUUUUAACACACAAUUUAUUUAUUAACAUCAAUCUAAAACUAAUUUUUCUCAAUUUUAUUAUUCAUCAAUUUAAUUUAAUUUUUCUUAAUUAAUUCUAAUUAAUUUUUUUUAAUUAAUUCAUUUUUUUUAAAAUUUUUCGGAAAAUUUCAAUUUCUAAAAUCCUAAGAAAUUUUCUACUCUAAGGCUGACAUGGCAUAAAAUUUCAACUCGUUUAAUUGACCGACACAAUAAAACGAAAUUCACCAAUCCGAAAUUAACACGUGUUCUCCAAACACUUUUCUUUUUGACUUUUCAACCAUCACACAAAAUAAGACUUUUCAAACUAAAAAUGCUAACGUGGCAUAAAAUACCCGGUCAUUACAAAAUACCUAUUGAAAGUACAAGAAUCACUCAGACAGCUGAGAGAGUGGGUCAUUAAGAAAGUCCCAAGGGGAGAAAAUGUGCAAGCCGACGCUUUAGCGGGUAUAGCCUCAUCAUUUCCUGUGAAAGAAUCAACGAUGCUACCCGUAUACGUUCAAGUCACUCCCUCCAUCGCUGAGUCACACGUUUGCAAUGUGGGCCCAAAAGAAAACGACUGGGCGGUUGACAUCAGAGCCUAUUUACAAGCGGGGGCAUUGCCUGAAGAUCCCAAGCUCGCCCACAAAAUUUGGGUGCAAGCGUUCCGCUUUACCCUAAUCGGAGGUGAUCUCUACAGGCGAUCCUUCGGAGGUCCGUACCUCAGAUGCUUGAUCCAGCCGGAAAUCCAAUAUGUUCUAUCCGAACUUCAUGAAGGCGUUUGCGGCAACCACUCAGGGGGCAGAACCCUGGCACACCGGGCGCAUUCACAAGGAUAUUAUUGGCCUACAAUGAGGCAGGACGCAGAGAUCUAUGUCAGGAAAUGCGACAAAUGUCAAAAACACGCGCCAUCCCACAUAUGCCCGCUGAGACAUUAAACUCAAUGACAAGCCCCUGGCCCUUCGUGCAAUGGGGGAGGGACAUCGUGGGACCCUUACCCACUGCAGCCGCUCAGAAGAAGUUCCUACUCGUUGCCACCGAUUAUUUCAGCAAGUGGGUGGAAGUUGAAGCCUACACAAGCAUCAAGGACAAGGACGUCACAAGGUUCGUCUGGAAAAAUAUAGUAUGUCGAUUCGGAAUCCUUCAGGCGAUCAUGGCCGAUAACGGCCCUCAGUUUGAUAGCUCUGCCUUUAAAGAUUUCUACGCGGAACUUCACAUCAAAAAUCUGUAUUCCACGCCGCAGUACCCUCAGAGCAACGGUCAAGCGGAAGCAACCAAUAAAACCUUACUGAGUGCGUUGAAAAAACGAUUGGAAAAAGCCAAAGGAAAGUGGGUAGAAGAGCUGCCCGACGUCUUAUGGGCUUAUCGAACUACACCCGGAAGGCCGACAGGGAAUACCCCAUUCGCUCUCACAUACGGAACAGAUGCCGUCAUCCCAACUGAAGUAGAUAUGCCCACAGCCCGGACUGCCGUCCAAGGUAAAAGAAAUGAAGAUGAAAAGCUUGCAAAGCACUUGGAUUGGACGGAUGAGACUAGAGAGGCAGCAUCCAUCCGGAUGGCCGCAUAUCAACAAAAGGUGGCUGCAUAUUAUAACAGGAGGGUGCGACCUCGGAUUUUCAAGGAGGGGUCAUUGGUACUUAGAAAAGUUUUUGAAAACACGGCUGACGAAGGAGCCGGAAAAUUUCAAGCCAAUUGGGAAGGUCCUUAUGUGGUGUCAAAAGCCAACGAAAAUGGGUCGUACCAUUUACAAACCUUAAAUGGAACCCCUCUACUCCGCCCUUGGAAUGAAAGAGAAAUUUUGUAAAGGUAACAUUUUUAUCCCGUCUUUUCUGACUGUGCUAGACAGGCGAUAUAAAAGGGGGCAUUGUGGGAUCCUCCCUAAAAACUGCCGCGUGGCUCCCUCUCCCUUGCGACAUGUGGCACCGCCGACAUUCCACCCGGACAUCUCACAUCCGGAAUUCUUCUCCGCCGACAUUCCACCCGGAUGUCUCACCGCCGCAAUUCUAUCCGGCCAACGUUCUACCUUAUCCGGAUGUUUCACAGCCUCCAUUAUAUCCGGCCGACGUUCCACCUUCUCCGGAUGGGAGAGGAGGACGAUUCAACUUCCCCGGGCAGACAUGUUCGGAUCCUUUGGUGACACUUACUCGGACAGCUUGGCUCGUCAGAUACUCGUGAUUCGUCGGAUCCAUUUCCGCCCACAAUCAAAGAGAUAACUCUGACAAUACUGACGACCAAGUCUCCUGAACUAUCACUCACAUUUAAUGCAAGAUACAUUCGACAAGACAUUCCCAAGUCUUCUCAGGUCUCCUGAUACAUCCCCGAUAUUUAAAGUCAUAAAUUGAGGCGGAGGAUGCCACCUAAAUAUCCUCCUGACAACCGCAAUCUUGGACCAGAAACGUCAUGAUUGCUUCGCCACCCUAUGAGCCACAAUCAUGACGAUGAAACCCACUGGCACAGCGAGGCGAUAUUUUCUGACUCAUAUAUAAACUCUAAGAAGGCUCUCAGGGAGGUAAAAGAUAAGAAGAAAAAAAAAAAAGCAAUAAGCAAUAUAGCAUUCUGGAGGCCAUAAGCCAAAAAAGAUAAGCAACAAAGGAUAAACAUCCUACUGAGGGAUAAACAUCCUUGACAAAAAUCACGGAGCCACACUCCCAAAGGAAAACCUUAUUUUCCAAACAGCUUCCAAAAUACUAACUUAAUCAUCGGAAGGUGUGUCCGGACAACCCAUCCGGACAUCUUUUUUGCAGGAGGAAGAAGGAUUCACUGUAACGCGUUGAUCGAGAUCCCGUUGCUGGUGACGACUAUUGUAGCAGUGGAACUUUGCCAUCAACAAUCACUACUAAAAAGAUUGAUUAAAAUAAGAGAAUUAUUAGAAAUUGUAAAAAAGGAUAACAAAAUUUGUAUACCUCAAUUUGAGAAUGCUUCACCCUCCCCCUAAAGCCAUUUAGAUGAAUAUUAUUCAAUAUAAUGCAGUAGUGUACUCUCAAGCAUGCUAAAAUGUAAGGAUCGAACAAAAAAAACAGAGUAUAAUAAUACUCAAAGUACUUUCUGAAUCAAAAAAUAACUCAUCAGGGUUUGAGAAUUCUUAUUACCUUUACAGAUUGGCAAAUCAUAAGGCCUUUGCAAACCGAAGGUACUAGAAGACUUACUAGGUUUUUUUAAGAGGCGUGAUGAGCUUGGAAAGCUAACCACUGAUGUACAAUACUAAGCUUAAGCAAGAGAGAAACUAUUAUUGACAUGAAAUUGAGAAAUGGUAAAUUAUCAGCUUUAGCACUAGAAUUUAUCUUUUGAUUGAUCAUGAGAAUUAAUAAAGUUUAGGACAAUCUUUUUUGUGAUUAAAUUGUAACACAAGAAAAUCUAGAUGUAGACACAUUCAUGAUUUUACUUAAUUGGCUAACAAAACCUCAAGGUCCUCUCCAAAUUAAAAGAAUUCAAUUUUUAUUGAUGUCUUAUUUUUGUAAAUGCAUUCAAACAUAGUGGUAUGGUUUUAACUUUUAUUCACUUUAUUUAAAUAUUAUUUACAUAUUGGGUAAUUAAUUAAUGCUUUUUCAUAAUAACAUGAUUAACCCUAUGGACAUAGAAGAAAAGAAGUUAUAAUAUAUAUAUAUGUAUAUAUCAAUUUUAUAAAAAUUUGCAUAAUGAGUAUAUUACAAAUAAUCAAGAAUAUUUUGAAUCACACUUGAAAUCAUAUUUAAUUCAUACUUAAAUCAUGUCUAAAAAAUUUGAAAUAUGUAUAUAAACAAACAAACAUAUAUACAUCUAUUAUUGUUAACUUGUGAAUGAGAAAUGGAUUCAAAAAAGUAUAAAUUUAGCAAAAUCAAUACCAUAAUUUUAUCUUCAACUCAUUGCAUUGGGUCAAGAUGAAUUCCUCUACUAAAACAUUUGAAAGGAAAAUUUUGCAGUUGAGAUGUUCGUCUUCUCUUGAAUUUGAUAGUUUAUUCUUAAGUUAAGAUUCCUCCUUCCCUUUAUAAAAUUAAGUGGAGUGUGACUAUAAAUUGAUUAAGAGUUUAAUCAAAAUUGAAAAUUUACUUGAAACAUCUUACUUGCCUCAAUGCAUAAGGAUGCAUGCGUGACCAAUUGAGUUUGGGCCUUCAAGUCAUUUGAGCUGUUCACCUUCAAUUGCUUGAGCUUGAUAUAUUCCUUCUAGACAUCAACUAUACCCACGACUAAUGCAUUACAUUAUUUAAUUUUCUGUUUUAAAUUGGUUUAAUAGAAUAACUAAUGCUUUAGAAAUGAUAACUUUUAAACUAAAAAAAAUCAAUCCAAACAACUUUGGUUCAUGAAAUCAAUAUCAUAAUUUAAUUUUUAACUCAUUUGGAACACCUAAGAACCUAGAACAACCUCUCAAAAUAUUCUAAAGCAAAAUAUUUGAAAUUGAAAUGUUCUUCCCCGCCUAAUUUGAUUACUCAUUCUUACUUUGAGACUCUUAUCUCCUUUUGAGACCAAGAAAUAUAGAGUACAAAAUUGAAUAAAAUGCGAGUUCAAAUAGGUAAGACUUUAAUCACAAUUCAAAAUUGACUUGAAAUAUUUUAUUUAGUUAGAACUUCCAUGACUUAACCAUUCAAGUUCAAGGCUAAUGUGUAAUUUCCUCUAUAACUUAUUUAACUCAAUGUUUAGUAUUUUGAAAUUAACAAUGCAAUCAAGCUGAACCUAAAAAUACCCAAAAACAAGUCCUAAUAGAUGUGAUUUUUUUUAAUAAAACAAAAUUCGGAUUUUAGACUUAAUGGAGGCCUUGGACUUUCAAAAUAGGGUAGCUAGGAAAAAAAAUAAGAGAAGAAAAAGUAAUGAAAAUCAUUGGAAAGAAUUUAAGCCCGUUAAAUCACUUAGCAAGAGCUUACCAAAAGAGAGGUGGCUUACCAAAAGCUUGAGAUGAAUGUUUAGCAUCUUCUACAGCAUAUCCAUUGAACAAAUUUGCAAAUUAAGAAGCUCCAUUCACUUGUGCAUUUGGUCCUCUUCAUCAUCUUGGGCAUCAACAACAUUAUCAUUAAUAUUUUGUGUUAUUGUAUCCAUUGGAGAAUGGUUGUUGCCCAUACAUUGUAUGUCGUCACAGCUUCUCUGUGCAUUAACAUCAGCAUCAAGUACUGAUUUGGUGCCACAGCUUCUCUGCACAUCAAGGUACCGUGUCUUUGCUGCAUGCUGCAUGAUUGUACUUGAUGCCUUUUAUAUUGGUAUCGUGGGAGGUGGCAAAACAAACUGCCUCUCCAAGGAGGUAUCCUCUGACAUUAUGAAAGAAAGAGAGGGUGAUGGAGAAAUCUUCCCAUAAAGACAAAUGUAGUGUAUAGUUGUGCAAGCUUUAACAGAAUCUUCUGGUCUCGCAGCCCAACAUUGAUCUUCAACCAAUUGGCGAUCUCAACAAGCCUUGAAAACUUACCCAUCAUCUUUCACAUGCUCUCCUGAUAGAUUGGCUGCCUCUGUCAAUGCACCCCUCCACCUUUGCACCAUCUCUUUCUUCUCUUUUGUAUCUUCUUUAUAAUUCUUAAAGGCUUCUCCAAAACUUCCUGUUUGCUUUCGUACAUGGGAUGGACCAACAUGGUAGAAAAUUGAGAGGACGAUUUGUCCCAUUUCUUUCCUGCACUCCAUGAUCUUAACAAGCUCAUUUAAACACCAUCUUGAAUCAGCAUAGUUUUUAGAGAAAACGAUUACGGAAAACCUUGAUCUUUCAAUGACUUUGAAGAGUUCUGACCCAAUCUCUUCUCCUCUCUUAAGUUUAUCAUCUCUGAAGGUGCGAUUGCCUCUCUUAAGCAAAGCUUGGUAGAGGUGAUCAGUGAAAUUAUAGCGGGUGUCUUCGCCUCCAAAACUCAAGAAAACAUCAUAGUUCUUUUGAGGGAUGGAAUUAGUAGUAGUCGUAGCAGAGGAAGAAGAAGAAGAUGAAGAUGAAGAUGAUGAUGAAAAGGGUAUUAGAAAACUUAGGAACGCAAUUAUGGAAGCUAUUAGGGAAUUUAUGAAAGGCAUGGUUGGUUUUUGUUUCAAAAUCACAAGAGGGUGUGAGGCUUGAUUUCUCUUGUGACUUGAG